GCUGAUGGGGGUGCUUCACUGGCGUGAGAAGGCCACAGACCGGGGAUAAAAUUUGUCAUAUAGUUUGUAGUGUGUGGUUUUGUUCUCGAGUUUUUCUCUUCAUUAUUGUCUCGAUUCUGCAACAGUGUAAAUUACCAAAGUGGUUCCGUCGCUGUCUUUACAAUGACUGAUUAAGCUAGCAUUGCGGAAACAUAAUGUAUGGAAUAAAUCAUCUUAUUGAGCAUGUUCUUGCACCUCUCUUUCCUGUUCUGAAGAUCACGGCUGCACCCUGAGCUGUUUAUUAAUCUGGUCUACUAAAUCGUGCUGGUACAAUUAUCAAUAUGAUCAGAGUGGUGCUACUGGCAGCUCCUUGUUAAUGUCCAUGUACUACUCCCUCCAUUCCAAAAUAGAUGACUCAACUUUGUAAAAGUUAGUAUAAUGUUGGGUCAUCUAUUUUGAAACAGAGGGAGUACUUCUGAAUCCUGAUGUGCAACUUCCCUCUCUAGCUUCAGAGAUGACCCUGCAGAUGUCUGCAGAUAUUUCCAAAUGUAUCAUGUGGUGCUUUCACUGCAGAUAUUUGCAGAUGCACACAUGUGCUUGUGCAGUUUUGCGAUUGUGACAAAGAAACUUAUUUCAGAAAGAAAGAAGUACAUCGAUCAAGAACAGAUAUCAACAACAAAAUGAAAAUGACGCUGUUAUUAAACCACUGAUGAUUUUGCUAACUAUAAAAUUGCUUAGACCAACAGUUCUCUCAGUAAUCUGUUUAAUAUAUGAUCAACUUAUCCCGCAAAUCAUCGCAGACAAUCUAAUCCUGCAAAAGGAAAAUUUCCACCAGUAAAAUGAUUUUUUCUUGUGUGGGUCAUAUUACCCUUCACUCUAGCCAUGGUAUUCUCCAGCGGAAAUAAUAAGCAAUUCAAGCAAGAAAGAUCGGAGGGCUGAUGUUAAUGGCAAGAAAUGCACAUUUGCUGCCUUGCCGCGGAAAAACUGACGUGAAUUAGCACGCUCUUAAAACAAGCAUACAAUAAGUAUGGAAGACAACGAUAUGAGAGAAGGUUACUAUUAAAUUAAAUCCUAUCUUAGGGCUUAGCCAUACAACACGUCCAAUCAUAAAAUGGAAUGUGACUCGCAUCUCACAAAAUAGUCGCAAGUCAAGAUACCACACGCCCAUGCCGUGCUGUAGCUAAUUGAGCACUUUGUUUCCAUUUUAUCUCAACAACUAGUAGCCUACAAGCUACUGUUGUCUAAUCAGACGGAGAAAGUACCUACCUGCCUUGGAAAGAUUGGAAGACGUCUGCAAUUAUAACUGUAUGCCCAUACGAUCGACAUUGAUGGCGUUGUCAGUUAGGACGGAGAAAGUUUUUCCUCUGUCAUAGUGCUCACCCAGAGAGUGUGCAGUUAGACAUCCAUACCUACACUUGGCUAAAAGAAUAAAUUCCAAAUUUCACCCCCUAAGAUUCGUGUUUGGUAAAAAUCCAUACCUACACUUGGCUAAAAGAAUAAAUUCCAAAUUUCACCCCCUAAGAUUCGUGUGUGGUAAUUUUUUUUACCCUAUUUAGCAGGAAUUGCUCAAAAAUACCCCCAUUUAGGCAAGUUUCUUCCAGGUUUUACCAUCUUUACCCGUCUCUGCCGGCAGGUCCGUUCUUUUUAAAACAAAGACGUCAGGAGCGUCUGGCUUUAACUGGAUAAAUCCCACAACAUGCAUAGUGCACAUAACGAACCGAACCAGUACGAAAAAAGGUUUUAGAAAUCCAACCAUAAUUUAUGGGGCAAUCUGCCCAAACUGAGCACGUAGGCUCGAAAACAUGCAAAAGGUGCAACUACCUUAAGAAGCAACAGGAGGGGACCUACCGAUGUUGUUGAUAUGUCGAACUCUGACCAUCACCACCUGCGGGCAAUCAGUGUCCUGCCGUCUCCCCAACGGAGCCGGCUGCUACAAAAAUAGGGUACAUUCGAAGAUGUUGUCAGCUUGGUGCGACGAGAAUACACCCUCGAUGGUAAUCUUGUUACGAAUGUGCCAAAGCGACCAAAGCAAUGCCCCGACACAUCUCCGCAUUACGUGUUUUGAAGAGCCACACAAUGAAGAUACUUGUAGGAUCGAAAGUAGGUCUAGAGGGGAGGGUGAUUAGACUACUUGACCAAUAAAAACCUAGCAUUUUUUCAAUUUUUGUUCUUCACAGAUUUUAAUAAUUCUAGCAAGUCUACUAGCACCCUAUACAUGCAAGUCUAAUAUAGUGGCAACGGAAAGUAAAGACUUUGCACAUGAAAGUAGAGAAAGGGUUUGGAGAUAAUCAAACGCAAUGAAGACACGAUGAUUUUUGGCGUGGUUCCGAUAGGUGAUGCUAUUGUACGUCCACAUUGAUGGAGAUUUCAACCCACAAAGGAUAACGGUUGAGCGAGUUCACGGAGGGCUCCACCCUCGAAGGGUCCACGAAGAAGCAACCUUGUCUAUACCAUCAUGGCUUACUACACGAUGGACUAGCCUCACUUGGGGUAGACCUUCACGAAGUAGGCGAUCUUCUUGCCCUCACAAACUCCUUGGUUCAACUCCACAAGCUUGGAGACUCCCAAGUGACAUAACCUAGGAGACACCACUCUCCAAAAGGUAAUAGAUAUUGUUGUUGACUAUGAACUCCUUGCUCUUAUGCUUCAAAAGAUAGUCUCCUUGACACUCAAACACUCUCUCACAGAUUUGGGCUAUGUGGUAGGAAAGGGACUGGAGUGGAGAGCAACUUGGGGAGGCUAGAGAUCAGGGAAGUGGAAUCAUCUUGAUCUCAACACAAGGGUAGGUGGUUCACUCCCAGAAAAUAGACAUGAGAAGUGGUAGCUUCGAACUAGUCUCUCUCUCUGAGAGUUAGUGGAAUGGGUGGGGUUAUAUAUAGGAAGCACAAAAAAUCCAACCGUUACACACCUUUAUGCACUACUCGAUGGGACCGGGUGAGAAUGCUGGUGAGACUAAUUAGUACAAAAGGUCUGAACUUUAGGAUUUUUGGUGAGACCGGAUGAAACCUCUCGGUGGGACCAAGAUGAGAUGACCUAAGCGCUUUCCACACUUUGAUGUCACCGAUUGAAACCAUUCAAAAAUUCUGAGAUGUAUGCAAUUGGUAACAGAAGGUUGGCAAGUGCUCUUCGGUGGGACCAAAGGGCCAGCUUGGUGAGACCAAUAUGCUAGGGUUUAGGCAGUGGCUAUGCCAAGUGUAUCUUGGAGAGUCCGGCUAGAUGAAUAUCGGUGGGACCAAUAUUGACUUUAGGGUGAGCAAUAUCUCUAAGCACUUGAGAUCUAGAUCAUGGUCAAAACCUCAUCCCCUUUUAAUAGUAUUGGCUUUUCUAUGGACUCAGUGUGAUCUUGGAUCACUAAACCAAAAAUUUGAACUUUUCUGAAAUAUUCUUUGAGUAGUCAUUAGUUCAAUGAUGUAUAUGUUGUUUUGAAUUACCAAAACCACCUGGGAUUAGUUGCACUUUCAAUCUUCCCCUUUUUGGUAAUUGAUGAUAACAUAUAGUUCAAAGCUUCGACAUAAGAUAUAAUCAUGAAUAACAUCAUUGCUUUGAGAAAUAUGUGAUAAGCAAGAGGUCCUCCUAAAUUUGUGCAUUAUUUAAAAUUUGCUUUGAAUGCAAAUGCACAGUCGAGGAUCGUGCGACAACUCUUUUAUGCCACAUACAUCUUGGUGGAGCGCACAAAAGAAUAUGAAUGGAAUACAACAAGAACUCAUCACCAAGACACACAUGUGGAUGACCAUGUGCUACUUGUGAGCUAUGUUGGGAUAUUCCCUGAAGAGGAAGGGUGAAGCAAUAUAGUAGCAUAGAAAUAUUUCCCUCAGUGAGAACCAAGGUUAUCAAACCAAUAGGAGAACCACGCAAAUCGUCCUAGCACCUACACACACAAAAGCAAAUACUUGCACCCAACAUGGGCAAGAGGGUUGUCAAUCCCCUUGAGCUCGUUACUUGCAAGUAUUAAAUCUGGUAGUGGUACAUAGAUAGAAGAAAAGUAAAAUAAAAGGUAUAAAAUUGCAGCAAGGUAUUUUUUGUUUUAGUAAUAUAAUUAAAGUAGACCCGGUGGCUUCUCUUUCGAAACAGUAGCAUACGGUGGGUGAACAAAUUACUUUUGGGUAAUUAAUAGAAAAGCGCAUAGUUAUGAUGUUAUUCAUGGAAAUAAUCACAUAUAUAGGCAUCACAUCCAUGAUAAGUAGGCCGACUCUUACCUGCAUCUACUACUAUUACUCCACCAAUCGACCGCUAUCCAGCAUGUAUCUAUGGUAUUAAGUUCAUAACAAACAGAUUGACACUUUAAGCAAGAUGAUAUAAUAUAGACAAAGUAAACUCAAGCAAUAUGAAUAAACCAUAUCGUUUUAUCCUUAAUGACAACAAUACAAAUACAUCCUCGCUACCCCUUCUGUCAAAGGUGAGGAGACCGCAAGAUGAACCCAUUAUAAAGCACCUCUCCCACUGAAGAUAAAUCAAUCUAGUUGGCCAAACCAAAUGAAUAGAUAGGAGAGAAAUACAAAGCUAUCAUAAUCAUGCAUAAUAAAGUUCGGAAAAGACUCAACUACUUUCAAUGAGUAAUCUGAUCAUAAACACACAAUUCAUCUGAUCCCAACAAACACACUGCAAGAGAAGAUUACAUCGGAUAGAACUCCAAGAAGAUCAAGGAGAACAUUGUAUUGAAGAUCAAAGAGAGAGAAGAAGCCAUCUAGCUACCAACUGUGGACCUGUAGGUCUAUGGUGAACAACUCACACAUUAUAGGAAGGGCGGCAAGGUUGAUGUAGAGUCCCUCCGUGAUCGAUUCACCCUCCAGCAGAGUACCGGGAAGGCCUCUAGAUGGGAUCGUGGAAGAACAGAAGCUUGCGGCGGUGGAAAAAUUGUUUCGGGUGGGUCUCUGGGGGUUUCUCAACAUUUGAGAAUUUAUAGAAGUGGAAUUAGGUCAGAAGGAGCCACAUGGGGCUCAUAAGGUAACAGGGCGCGCCCUGUUGCCUUGUUGUCUCCACGUUUGCCGUCUGGUCUCCUCCUGAAGCUUCUGGGGUCUCUUUUGUCUAAAAAAAUUGUCAAAAAAUUUCGUAGCGUUUCGACUCUGUUUGGUACUAAUUUUCUGGAAAACCAAAAACAAGUAGAAAACAGCAACGGGCACUAGGCACUGGGUUAACAGGUUAGUUCCAAAAAAUGAUAUAAAAUUGCAUAAUAAAGCAUAUAAAGUAUCCAAGAUUGAUAAUAUAAUAGCAUGAAACAAUAAAAAAUUAUAGAUACAUUGGAGACGUAUCACCAUGAUAACAUACAUAAGCAAAUGAUGGGUAGCAUGUAGGAACAAAGUAUGUCUACCAAAGGGGGUGAAUGGGAGAUUUAAAAUUUCUUUAGAAAACUUCAAAUCUCUCAGAUACAAUAGCGGAAUAACUAACAAAAUAUAAACACGAAAGGAAACUACUGAAGCAGAACUAGAGCAUGCUUCGAAGAAUAACUACAUAGUCGACAGAUAACUCACGAUGAAGAACUAAAAGUAAAUGAGGUACGGAGUUAUCCAGUGAUGCUCAAUGACGACACGGUAUUUGUGAGACCAGUUCACUCUUCUGCAAAAGAUUCACUUCUGGUUUGAGGGACUUGUGAUUAAACACAGAAUAUAAACUCGCUUUGUCCUAUUCUCCUCAACAACUGAUGCUUCAACCAAUGCCAAUUACUCAUGGUAGAUGCUUGAGGAGAUCUCCAAAGCUUCAUAGACUUCUUCUUCGUGAACCAUGGUUACUCUUAGUCACUGAAGAACUUGACACCUAACCGUCUAGAGAGUUCGCAACUCUCAAGAGUAACAGGCGGAGCGUACUUGACAUAAAGUCUAGUGAUGCUAAACUACUAUCUAGUUUUUUGGCUCUCGAGUUUUCUCUUGGUGGAUUUUAAACUCAAAUCACUCGGGAGAGGGGUUGCUCACACAGUCUUCUCGAGAUCAAACAUAGCAGCCAACUAUGCACGCUGGAAGGGGGUGGCUAUUUAUAGCCGCGGUCUUCCCAUGGGGGAAAAGACCAUUUUGGACAUAAGGACUAGCCAAUGUUCAACAAACACAUCUCCAACGGUCGGAUUUUGAGCAAUGGUAACAUUGCUUGAGGAACAAGUAAUGCUAAUUCCUUGGUCCAAAUUAAAUAUCUUGUUGCAAAGAAGAACUGUGUCUCUUGCUGGCAAGUAUUUAUUGGGAAGACAAAGAGAUUUCUCUCAACUCUCAUAGGAUUCGCUUUAGCAUCAAAGAGUCAUAAGUUUCGUACACUAUACCCCUCUUAGGAGUACGGUGGUCCUAUGACUCAAGAAAGAGAAAAAUAAUACCGAAAUAAAAUGCUACGUCUUUUUUUAGUCUUCAAACUUCUUGGUUGUAGUCAAUUUCUUCGGACAGGAACCGAACCAAUUGCUUCUCAUCGGCAAUUUUUGGGGGUUACUUUUGAUAAGCAUAAUAUUAGGUGAUAAUCCUUGCUGCUUCGCAGGAGAUUAUCUUAGGAGUAUGUUCCAAACUCCAUAUGACUUUAGGGACUUGUCACUCUAUGUGCACUAGCAAACACAUUAGUCCCACACUGUUUAUGACAACAAUCUCCAAAGCACAACGAGGCAAAUUAUUCCACCAAUAAUCUCCCCCCUUUUGAAUGAUUGUUAUAAAACAGAUAAUCGUCGAAGUAUGGAUAGAAAUGUAAAUGGUUGCAAUAGAAAGUUACAAGUGCUACUUGUCUCGGAGAAAAAAUGGACCCCCCCGGAAUGUAUGCAUGGGUAGACACAGUGAUAAUCAACUUCCUGCAUAUAUUGUGAUAAACUCUAUGGGGAGGCAUUUCAUAUCUUCGAGAAUAAUGGAUUGCACUUAAUGAUAAUUGCCAAUGUGAAGAUAUAGUACAACCAUCUGUAACUUCUGAUAAAAAUUCCACCUGCAAAACAGAUUCUUGAGAGAUGUAUAAUGUAGCAAGAAGGGUUAAUGAUAUUACAUACCAGAAGUUCAGAAAAGAAUUUUGCAACACGAUAAGAAUCAAUCGAAAGGCAAGUGUUGUAAACUCAAGAUAAAACAUAGCCAACAAAAGUCAAGCAAGUCUAUCAGUACUCGAUGUAAUUCUCCCCCUUUUGUCAACAAGUGGCAAAAAGGUGUUGAAAGUAGGAGCCACUUAGGAGGUGAAGACGAAUCUGAAGAGUUUCCUGAAGUGUCUUCACCGGAGUCACUGGAAUCAGACGUUUGUUCUUCAGAGGUGACAGGUGCUUCGAGAUUUUCUUCACCGCCUGAGGCAGAUGCUUUUGCUUUGCGAGGGAGAACUUGAGGCUAGGCAGAUGGCCAGGGCACAUCAGUGAUAGUGUUUGGAUCGACUGGAGGCACAUGAUUUCCUUCAACAGUUUUAACUGUAGGAGAGGUUGCUUUAGAUUCUUCAAGCUAUUUCUUAAGCUUGACUGAAGUAAAUUGGUUAAUGGAGCAAGAGGUGAUAGUGGAGGUGUGCAUCGCUGCUGAAGAUCUUCAACGUUGAAAUCCAAGUGAAUGUAGUCAUAGAUUUGCUUGAUGUCAGUCUUGGUGAGUUUCUUUUCAGAGAAAAACUUUUGGAGCAGUUUCCAGAGGCGCUUCUUGUUUUCAUCAGCAAUGAGAUGAAGCAAGCGAGUUGAUUGUGAAGGGCAUUGAGUUUAGUGGCCAAGUGCUCUUUUAAUUGCCAAUCUUUGGUGAUAUGCUGCAGAAGAAGUUGAUGCAUGCGCAUGCUGACUUCUCACUGAGUAGGAGGCAAAGGCUUGAACAUCCUUUCACGUUGAGGAAUAUGAGGGUCAUCAAAUGGUCAGACAUUCUGAGGGAUGGCAGCCGGUAAUUUUCCCGAGGAAUAAUCUUGGAUGACUUGCAUGGUAUCACGAACAGUAGGUAUGAAGCAUUUGUGGCUCUCCUUGUCCAGAUAGGUGGUACGCAUGUUGUGAGCAAUAACUUUCUUGAUCUAGGGCGCGAGCACCUUCAGGCUGAAUGGAAAUUGCACCAAGUCCUUGAGAAUGUUGAGAAACAUAUCUUCAACAUUGAAUAUAUAUUUCCCUGCAAUAGCAUAGAGCAUAUUCCGAAUGACAUCGCUUAUUGUUAGCGACUCGAUCGGCUGGGGAUUAGAGAUUAAUCAAAAAUCAUAUGAUUAAUUGAUUUUACUGGUUGACUAUUAGUCGGUAUUUUUUUUACAAAUCCCAGGUUUCUAGCACUAAAAUAUGUUAUAUUCAACAACAACUAAAAUAUUGGACAGAAGUGUUACCUUGAUUCCUUGCCAUUGAAUCAUUGUACAAUGACAAAAAAAAUAGGACAUAUGUACAUACUAUAUAACAAGGUCCACAAAACACAAAUAAACAUAGUUCUUGCACACAUAGUGGUAGAAAUAGGCCCGAUUUAUCGGUAUAUUCCCGAUAAAUCGCUUGUAAGAGCAAUAAAUCGAUCCAAAUGAUAAAUGGGCAUGAUAUGGAAUAAUCUUAUCGGUCACCCACCGAUUAGCGGUAAAUCUGACGAUAAAUCAUUGAAUCAAUUGAUUUUUUUAAUAGAGACGCCAGGAAUAGUGCAAUCAGUAUUGAUGCCCACAAAAGGGAAAUGGUGUAGGUGAGCAUGUGAUAGAUAGACUGAUUCUCGAAUGUCAAAUGCUCGGGAUGGGGAGGUCCAAAGUAAUCACAAAUUUUCUCAGGGUCAAUGGUGAAACAAAAUUCAUCAUCAACAAGUGCAUCAAUUCAAUGGACACUAAUUUCCUUCCGAUUGUUCUCGAACCGAGGGAAUUGAAAGUGAUACAUGAAGUCCAUCAUGGUGCACUUGAUAUGCUGACCUUCAGUCAUCCACUCCAUUACCCAAGUGGUGCUAUCCGAUUCAUCGCUAGAGAUGUAAAGUGUGGCAUAGAACUGGAAAAUGUAUUCGCGAUUCCAUGGAUGUUGAAAUUCGAAGAGCCUAGUCAGGUGAAAACCAUCGAGGUCUUGAAGGAUUUGUUGGAAGCAUCCAAGACUACGCAUGGUUGGGACAUCGAGAUAUGCAUGAGGAAGUAUCCGACGACUAUUGUACAAUGAUAUGUCUCCAACGUAUCUACUUUUCCUAACACGUUUUCUCUUGUUUUGGACUCUAGUUUGCAUGAUUUGAAUGAAACUAACCCUGGACUAACGUUGUUUUCAGCAGAACUACCAUGCUGUUGUUUUUGUGCAGAAAUAAAAGUUCUUGGAAUGGAACGAAACUUUGCGAGGAUUUUCUACAUCAAUAAUAAGAAUUUUUGGAGCCAAGACCCACCAGAGGGGGGCACCUGAGCACAACCCACCAGGGUGCGCCCCCCUCACCUGGCGCACCCAGGUGGGUUGUGCCCACCUGGUGGCCCUGCAGACCCUGAAACCAACGCUAUAAAAUCCUAUUUUUCCACAAAAAAAUCAGGGAGAAAGAAUUAUCAUGAUACACGAGACAGAGGCAUCGUCACCUACUGUUCUUCAUCGGGAGGCCAGAUCUAGAGCCCGCUCGGGGCUCCAGAGAGGGGGAUCUUCGUUCUUCGUCAUCACCAACCCUUCUCCAUCGCCAAUUCCAUGAUGCUCCCCACCGAGAGUGAGUAAUUCCUUCGUAGGCUCGCUGGUCGGUGAGGAGUUGGAUCAGAUUCAUCAUGUAAUCGAGUUAGUUUUGUUAGGUCUUGAUCCCUAGUAUCCACUAUAUUCUUAUAUUGAUGUUGCUAUGACUUUGCCAUGCUUAAUGCUUGUCACUUUGGGCCCGGGUGCCAUGAUUUCAGAUCUAAACCAUUUAUGUUAUCACCAUUAUAUCCAUGUUCUAGAUCCGAUCUUGCAAGUUAUAUUCACCUACUACGUGUUAUGAUCCGGCAACCCCAGAGUGACAAUAGCCGGGACCACUCCCGGUGAUGGCCGUAGUUUGAGGAGUUCAUGUAUUCAUCGUGUGUUAAUGCUUUGUUUCGGUUCUUUAUUAAAAUGAGGCUUUAAUAUCCCUUAGUUUCCAAUAUGGACCCCAUUGCCACGGGAGGGUAGGACAAAAGAUGUCAUGCAAGUUUUUCGAGAAGCACGUAUGGCUAUUUAUGGAAUACAUGCCUACAUUAUAUUGAUGAACUGGACCUAGUGUCGUAUCGCCCUAGGUUAUAACUGUCUCAUGAUUAAUAUCAUCCAACAAGUCACCGAUCCAAUUGUUGGAAAUAUGCCCUAGAGGCAAUAAUAAAAUGGUUAUUAUUAUAUUUCCUUCUUCAUGAUAAUUGUCUACUGUUCAUGCUAUAAUUGUGUUAUCCGGAAAUCGUAAUACAUGUGUGAAUACAUAGACCACAACACGUCCCUAGUGAGCCUCUAGUUGACUAGCUCGUUGAUCAAAACAUAGUCAUGGUUUCCUGACUAUGGACAUUAGAUGUCAUUGAUAACGGGAUCACAUCAUUAGGAGAAUGAUGUGAUGGACAAGACCCAAUCCUAAGCAUAGCUCAAAGAUCCUGUAGUUCGUUUGCUAGAGCUUUUCCGAAUGUCAAGUAUCAUUUCCUUAGACCAUGAGAUUGUGCAACUCCCGGAUACCGUAGGAGUGCUUUGGGUGUGCCAAACAUCACAGCGUAACUGGGUGACUAUAAAGGUGCACUACGGGCAUCUCCGAAAGUGUCUGUUGGGUUGGCAUGAAUCGAGACUGGGAUUUGUCACUCCGUAUGACGGAGAGGUAUCUCUGGGCCCACUCGGUAAUGCAUCAUCAUAAUGAGCUCAAUGUGACCAAGUGGUUGAUCAUGGGAUCAUGCAUUACGGUACGAGUAAAGUGACUUGCCGGUAACGAGAUUGAACGAGGUAUUGGGAUACCGACGAUCGAGUCUCGGGCUAUUGGUUAUUGACCGGAGAGUCGUCUCGGUCAUGUCUGCGUGUCUACCGAACCCGUAGGGUCUACACACUUAAGGUUCGGUGACGCUAGGGUUGUUGAGAUAUUAGUAUGCGGUAACCCAAAAUUUGUUCGGAGUCCUGGAUGAGAUCCCGGACGUCACGAGGAGUUCCGGAAUGGUCCGUAGGUGAAGAAUUGUAUAUAGGAAGUCCAGUUUCGGCCACCGGGAAAGUUUCGGGGGUCACCGGUAUUGUACCGGGACCACCGGAAGGGUCCCGGGGGUCCAUCGGGUGGGGCCACCUAUCCCGAAGGGCCCCAUGGGCUGAAGUGGGAGGGGAACCAGCCCCUGAUGGGCUGGUGCGCCCCCCUUGGGCCUCCCCCUGCGCCUAGGGUUGGAAACCCUAGGGGUGGGGGCGCCCCACUUGGCUUGGGGGGCAAGCCACCCCCUUGGCCGCCGCCCCCCAUCUAGAUGGGAUCUAGAGGGGCCGGCGCCCCCCUGGACCCCUAUAUAAAGAGGGGGGAGGGAGGGCUGCGCACCCAAGCCCCUGGCGCCUCCCUCUCCCUCCCGUGACACCUCUCCCUCUCGCUGAGCUUGGUGAAGCUCUGCCGAGAUCACCGUUGCUUCCACCACCACGCCGUCGUGCUACUGGAUCUCCAUCAACCUCUCCUUCCCCCUUGCUGGAUCAAGAAGGAGGAGACGUCUUCCCAACCGUAUGUGUGUUGAACGCGGAGGUGCCGUCCGUUCGACGCUCGGUCAUCGGUGAUUUGGAUCACGACGAGUACGACUCCAUCAACCCCGUUCUCUUGAACGCUUCCGCUCGCGAUCUACAAGGGUAUGUAGAUGCACUCCCCUUUCCCUCGUUGCUAGAUAACUUGGUGAUGCGUAGAAAAUUUUAAAUUCUGCUACGUUCCCCAACAGUGGCAUCAUGAGCUAGGUCUAUGCAUUGUUUCUAUGCACGAGUAGAACACAAAGCAGUUGUGGGCGUCGAUAUUGUCAAUUUACUUGCCGUUACUAGUCUUAUCUUGAUUCGGCGGCCGGACCGACCUUACACGUACACUUACGUGAGAUUGGUUCCACCGACUGACAUGCACUAGUUGCAUAAGGUGGCUAGCGGGUGUCUGUCUCUCCCACUUUAGUCGGAUCGGAUUCGAUGAAAAGGGUCCUUAUGAAGGGUAAAUAGAAAUUGGCAUAUCACGUUGUGGUUUUGGCGUAGGUAAGAAACGUUCUUGCUAGAAACCUAUAGCAGCCACGUAAAAACUUGCAACAAUAAUUAGAGGAUGUCUAACUUGUUUUUGUAGCAUGUGUCGUGUGAUGUGAUAUGGCCAAAAGGAUGCGAUGAAUGGUAUAUGUGAUGUAUGAGAUUGAUCAUGUUCUUGUAAUAGGAAUCACGACUUGCAUGUCGAUGAGUAUGACAACCGGCAGGAGCCAUAGGAGUUGUCUUAAUUUAUUUAUGACCUGCGUGUCAAUAUAUAACGUCAUGUAAUUACUUUACUUUAUUGCUAAACCGUUAGCCAUAGUAGUAGAAGUAAUAGAUGAUGAGACAACUUCAUGAAUACACGAUGAUGGAUAUCAUGGUGUCAUGCCAGUGACGACGAUGAUCAUGGCGCCCCGAAGAUGGAGAUCAUAAGGAGCAAAAUGAUAUCGGCCAUAUCAUGUCACUAUUUGAUUGCAUGUGAUGUUUAUCAUGUUUUACAUCUUAUUUGCUUAGAACGAUGGUAGCUUAAAUAAGAUGAUCCCUCUCAAUAAUUUCAAGAAGGUGUCCCCCCUAACUGUGUACCAUUGCGAAGGUUCGUUGUUUCGAAGCACCACGUGAUGAUCGGGUGUGAUGGAUUCUAACGUUCGAAUACAACGAGUGUAAGCCAGAUUUACACACGCAAUACACUUAGGUUGACUUGACAAGCCUAGGAUGUACAGACAUGGCCUCGGAACACGGAAGACCGAAAGGUCGAGCAUGAGUCGUAUAGAAGAUACGAUCAACAUGAAGAUGUUCAUCGAUGUUGACUAGUCCGUCUCACAUGAUGAUCGGACACGGCCUAGUUGACUCGGAUCAUGUUUCACUUAGAUGACUAGAGGGAUGUCUAUCUGAGUGGGAGUUCAUUGAAUAAUUUGAUUAGAUGAACUUAAUUAUCAUGAACUUAGUCUAAAAUCUUUACAAUAUGUCUUGUAGAUCAAAUGGCCCACGCUAAUGUUGCCCUCAACUUCAACGCGUUCCUAGAGAAAACCAAGCUAAAAGAUGAUGGCAUCAACUAUACGGACUGGGUCCGGAACCUGAGGAUCAUCCUCAUAGCUGCCAAGAAAGAUUAUGCCCUAGAAGCACCGCUAGGUGACGCACCCAUCCCAGAGAACCAAGACGUUAUGAUUGCUUGGCAGCAGCGUGCUGAUGAUUACUCCCUCUUUCAGUGCGGCAUGCUUUACAGCUUAGAACUGGGGCUCCAAAAGCGUUUUGAGAAACAUGGAGCAUAUGAGAUGUUCAAAGAGCUGAAAAUGGUUUUCCAAGCUCAUGCCCGGGUCGAGAGAUAUGAAGUCUCUGACAAGUUCUUCAGUUGUAAGAUGGAGGAAAAUAGUUCUGUCAGUGAGCACAUACUCAAAAUGUCUGGGUUGCACAACCGCUUGACUCAGCUGGGAGUUAAUCUCCCGGAUGACACGGUCAUUGAUAGAAUCCUUCAGUCGCUUCCAUCGAGCUACAAGAGCUUUGUGAUGAACUUCAAUAUGCAGGGGAUGGAAAAGACCAUUCCUGAGGUAUAUUCAAUGCUGAAAUCAGCAGAGGUGGAGAUCAAAAAGGAACAUCAAGUGUUGAUGGUGAAUAAAACCACUAAGUUUAAGAAAGGCAAGGGUAAGAAGAACUUCAAGAAGAACGGCAAGGGGGUUUCCGUGCCCGGUGAGCAAGCUGCCGGGAAGAAGCCAAAGAAUGGACCCAAGCCCGAGACUAAGUGUUUUUUUUGCAAGGGAAGUGGUCACUGGAAGCGGAACUGCCCCAAAUACUUAGCGGACAAGAAGGCCGACAACACUAAAGGUAUAUGUGAUAUACAUGUAAUUGAUGUGUACCUUACCAGUACUCGUAGUAGCUCCUGGGUAUUUGAUACCGGUGCCGUUGCUCACAUUUGUAACUCAAAGCAGGAGCUGCGGAAUAAGCGGAGACUGGCGAAGGACGAGGUGACGAUGCGCGUCGGGAAUGGUUCCAAGGUCGAAGUGAUCGCCGUCGGCACGCUACCACUAUAUUUACCUACAUGAUUGGUUUUAAACCUCAAUAAUUGUUAUUUAGUGCCAGCUUUGAGCAUGAACAUUGUAUCAGGAUCUCAUUUAAUUCGAGAUGGCUACUCAUUUAAAUCCGAGAAUAAUGGUUGUUCUAUUUAUAUGAGAGAUAUGUUUUAUGGUCAUGCCUCGCUGGUGAAUGGUUUAUUCUUAAUGAAUCUCGAGCGUAAUGUUACACAUAUUCAUAAUGUGAAUACCAAAAGAUGUAAGGUUGAUAAUGAUAGUCCCACAUACUUGUGGCACUACCGCCUUGGUCACAUAGGUGUCAAACGCAUGAAGAAGCUCCAUGCAGAUGGACUUUUGGAGUCUCUUGAUUGCGAAUCAUUUGACACGUGCGAACCAUGCCUCAUGGGUAAAAUGACCAAGACUCCAUUCUCAGGAACAAUGGAGCGAGCAACCAACUUAUUGGAAAUCAUACAUACUGAUGUGUGCGGUCCAAUGAGUGUUGAGGCUCGUGGUGGCUAUCAUUAUGUUCUCACCCUCACUGAUGACUUGAGUAGAUAUGGGUAUGUCUAAUGAAACACAAGUCUGAGACCUUUGAAAGGUUCAAGGAAUUUCAGAGUGAGGUUGAGAAUCAACGUGACAGGAAAAUCAAGUUCUUGCGAUUAGAUCGUGGGGGAGAAUACUUGAGUCACGAAUUUGGCACGCACUUAAGGAAAUGUGGAAUAGUUUCACAACUCACGCCACCUGGAACACCUCAGCGUAAUGGUGUGUCCGAACGUCGUAAUCGCACUCUAUUGGAUAUGGUGCGAUCUAUGAUGUCUCUUACCGAUCUACCACUGUCAUUUUGGGGCUAUGCUUUAGAGACUGCCGCAUUCACUUUAAAUAGGGCUCCGUCGAAAUCCGUUGAGACAACACCGUAUGAAUUAUGGUUUGGGAAGAAACCUAAGCUGUCGUUUCUAAAAGUUUGGGGAUGCGAUGCUUAUGUGAAGAAACUUCAACCUGAAAAGCUCAAACCCAAAUCGGAAAAAUGCGUCUUCAUAGGAUACCCUAAAGAAACUAUUGGGUAUACCUUCUACCUCAGAUCUGAAGGCAAGAUCUUUGUUGCCAAGAAUGGAUCCUUUCUAGAGAAAGAGUUUCUCUCGAAAGAAGUAAGUGGGAGGAAAGUAGAACUUGAUGAAGUAUCACCUCUUGAACCGGAAAGUGGCGCAACUCAGGAAAAUGUUCCUGAGGUGCCUGCACCGACUAGAGAGGAAGUUAAUGAUGAUGAUCAUGAAACUUCAGAUCAAGUUGCUACUGAACUUCGUAGGUCCACAAGGACACGUUCCGCACCAGAGUGGUACGGCAACCUUGUCUUGGAAAUCAUGUUGUUAGACAACGGUGAACCUUCGAACUAUGAGGAAGCGAUGGCGGGCCCAGAUUCCGACAAAUGGCUGGAAGCCAUGAAAUCCGAGAUAGGAUCCAUGUAUGCAAAUGAAGUAUGGACUUUUGACUGACUUGCCCGAUGAUUGGCGAGCCCUAGAAAAUAAAUUGAUCUUUUAAAAGAAGACAAACGCAGAUGGUAAUGUGACCAUCUACAAGGCUCGACUCAUCGCUAAGGGUUAUCGACAAGUUGAAGGGGUUGACUACGAUAAGACUUUCUCACCCGUAGCGAAGCUGAAGUCCGUCUGAAUCAUGUUAGCAAUUGCCGCAUUCUAUGAUUAUGAGAUAUGGCAAAUGGACGUCAAAACGGCAUUCCUUAACGGCUUUCUUAAGGAAGAAUUGUAUAUGAUGCAGCCAACAGGUUUUGUCGAUCCUAAGAAUGCUAACAAGGUGUGCAAGCUCCAACGCUCAAUCUAUGGGCUGGUGCAAGCAUCUCGGAGUUGGAACAUUCGAUUUGAUGAGAUGAUCAAAGCGUUUGGGUUUACACAGACUUAUGGAGAAGCCUGUGUUUACAAGAAAGUGAGUGGGAGCUCCGUAGCAUUUCUCAUAUUAUAUGUGGAUGACAUACUGUUGAUGGGAAAUGAUAUGGAAUUCUUGGAAAGCAUAAAGGCCUACUUGAACAAGUGUAUUUCUAUGAAGGACCUUGGAGAAUCUGCUUAUAUAUUAGGCAUCAAAAUCUAUAGAGAUAGAUCGAGACGCCUCAUUGGUCUUUCACAAAGUACGUACCUUGACAAGAUAUUGAAGAAGUUCAAUAUGGAUCAGUCCAAGAUGGGGUUCUUGCGUGUAUUGCAAGGUAUGCAAUUGAGCACGGCUCAAUGCCCGACCACAGCAGAAGAUAGAGAAAAGAUGAGUGUCGUCCCCUAUGCCUCGGCCAUAGGGUCUAUUAUGUAUGUCAUGCUGUGUACCAGACCUGAUGUAAACCUUGCCGUAAGUUUGGUAGGAAGGUACCAAAGUAAUCCCAGCAUGGAACACUGGACAUCGGUCAAGAAUAUCCUGAAGUACCUGAAGAGGACUAAGGAUAUGUUUCUCGUUUAUGGAGGUGACAAAGAGCUCGUCGUAAAGGGUUACGUCGAUGCUAGCUUCGACACAGAUCUGGAUGACUCUAAGUCACAAACCGGAUACGUGUAUAUUUUGAAUGGUGCGGCAGUAAGCUGGUGCAGUUGCAAGCAAAGCUUUAUGGCGGGAUCUACAUGUGAAGCGGAGUACAUGGCAGCCUCGGAGGCAGCAUAAUAAGCAAUCUGGGUGAAGGAGUUCAUUACCGACCUAGGAGUCAUUCCCAAUGCAUCGGGCCCGAUGACUCUCUUCUGUGACAACACUGGAGCUAUUGCCCUUGCCAAGGAGCCGAGGUUUCACAGGAAGACCAGGCAUAUCAAGCGUCGCUUCAACUCCAUUCAUGAAAGAGUUCAAAAUGGAGACAUAGAUAUUUGUAAAGUACAUACGGACCUGAAUGUAGCAGAUCCGUUGACUAAACCUCUCCCUAGAGCAAAACAUGAUCAACACCAGAACUCUAUGGGUGUUCGAUUCAUCACAAUGUAACUAGAUUAUUGACUCUAGUGCAAGUGGGAGACUAUUGGAAAUAUGCCCUAGAGGCAAUAAUAAAAUGGUUAUUAUUAUAUUUCCUUGUUCAUGAUAAUUGUCUAUUGUUCAUGCUAUAAUUGUGUUAUCCGGAAAUCGUAAUACAUGUGUGAAUACAUAGACCACAACACGUCCCUAGUGAGCCUCUAGUUGACUAGCUCGUUGAUCAAAAGAUAGUCAUGGUUUCCUAACUAUGGACAUUAGAUGUCAUUGAUAACGGGAUCACAUCAUUAGGAGAAUGAUGUGAUGGACAAGACCCAAUCCUAAGCAUAGCUCAAAGAUCGUGUAGUUCGUUUGCUAGAGCUUUUCCGAAUGUCAAGUAUCAUUUCCUUAGACCAUGAGAUUGUGCAACUCCUGGAUACCGUAGGAGUGCUUUGGGUGUGCCAAACGUCACAACGUAACUGGGUGACUAUAAAGGUGCACUACGGGUAUCUCCGAAAGUGUUUGUUGGGUUGGCACGAAUCGAGACUGGGAUUUGUCACUCCGUAUGACGGAGAGGUAUCUCUGGGCCCACUCGGUAAUGCAUCAUCAUAAUGAGCUCAAUGUGACCAAGUGGUUGAUCAUGGGAUCAUGCAUUAUGGUACGAGUAAAGUGACUUGCCAGUAAUGAGAUUGAACGAGGUAUUGGGAUAUCGACGAUCGAGUCUUGGGCGAGUAACGUACCGAUUGACAAAGGGAAUUGUAUACGGGAUUGAUUGAAUCCUCGACAUCGUGGUUCAUCUGAUGAGAUCAUCGAGGAGCAUGUGGGAGCCAACAUGGGUAUCCAGAUCCCGUUGUUGGUUAUUGACCGGAGAGUCGUCUCGGUCAUGUCUGCGUGUCUCCCGAACCCGUAGGGUCUACACACUUAAGGUUCGGUGACGCUAGGGUUGUUGAGAUAUUAGUAUGCGGUAACCCGAAAGUUGUUCGGAGUCCCGGAUGAGAUCCCGGAUGUCACGAGGAGUUCCAAAAUGGUCCGGAGGUGAAGAAUUGUAUAUAGGAAGUCCAGUUUCGGCCACCGGGAAAGUUUCGGGGGUCACCGGUAUUGUACCGGGACCAUCGGAAGGGUCCCGGGGGUCCACCGGGUGGGGCCACCUAUCCCGAAGGGCCCCAUGGGCUGAAGUGGGAGGGGAACCAGCCCCUGAUGGGCUGGUGAGCCCCCCUUGGGCCUCCCCCUGCGCCUAGGGUUGGAAACCCUAGGGGUGGGGGCGCCCCACUUGGCUUGGGGGGCAAGCCACCCCCCUUGGACGCCGCCCCCCAUCUAGAUGGGAUGUAGAGGGGCCGGCGCCCCCCUAGACCCCUAUAUAAAGAGGGGGAGGGAGGGCUGUGCACCCAAGCCCCUGGCGUCUCCCUCUCCCUCCCGUGACACCUCUCCCUCUCGCUGAGCUUGGCGAAGCCCUACUGAGAUCACCGUUGCUUCCACCACCACGCCGUCGUGCUGCUGGAUCUCCAUCAACCUAUCCUUCCCCCUUGCUGGAUCAAGAAGGAGGAGACGUCUUCCCAACCGUACGUGUGUUGAAUGCGGAGGUGCCGUCCGUUCGGCGCUCGGUCAUCGGUGAUUUGGAUUACGACGAGUACGACUCCAUCAAACCCGUUCUCUUGAAUGCUUCCGCUCGCGAUCUACAAGGGUAUGUAGAUGCACUCCCCUUUCCCUCGUUGCUAGAUAACUCCAUAGAUUGAUCUUGGUGAUGCGUAGAAAAUUUUAAAUUCUGCUACGUUCCCCAACAACAAUGCCUAUGAAUAUAUCUUAUAUUGUUCUUGCUAAGUUACUACUGCUAUCAUCACUGUUGCACUUGCUACAAAACUAUUGCUAUCACUGUUACCACUACCGUUAUUGUUCCUACUAUUAUCAAAACUAUCAUACUACUUUGCUACUGAUCACUUUGAUGCAGAUAAUUAAUCUCCAGGUGUGAUUGAAUUCACAACUCAGCUGCUAAUACAUUCAAAUAUUAUUUGGCUCCCCUUGUGUCGAAUCUAUAAAUUUGGGUUGAAUACUCUACCCUCAAAAACUGUUGCGAUCCCCUAUACUUGUGGGUUAUCAUACAACACACGAGAGUAAUAUAUGGCUUGCUCCCGAGUCCAAAAGCUGCCAGAUUCAGAAGUUCGUGGUCCAUCAUAGGGACUCAUCUUGAAGAAAGAAUAUAUGUCGGGGUAUUCAUUCCGGUUGAUGAGAGGGCCUUUGGCACCAGUGCCAUCCGAAAAGAUUGGCAUUUUCCCUCUUGGAUUGUGAUACUGCAAUUCUUCUUCGAUAGAAAGAACUUCAUCACUAUAAACUACUGAGCCCGUGUUUCGCUCAUAUGGAGGUGGAUGAGAUGGAUUUCUCUUAGAGGGUCCAUCUUCAGUAUUCGAUGCUGGAGUAGUGACAACAUUCAAAUUGAGAGCAUCAUUUUCUUUCGAAACUGAAGGUGGCACAUCCCCAGUUGACUUGAUAGAUUCUUCUUUGUCAGCCUCUUUUUCUUCUGGCACUUGGGUUGUGACAUGAGCAUAAUCUUAGGGAUCAGAUGGUUUCUCUUCAGGCACUGGAACCUAGAGUUCUUGCUUGUCAAGAUCACUAGCUUUCGGAGAUUCUUGCUCGACUGGCAUAGGAGGAGGAGAUGCACGGAUCUCAUCAUUGUCAGUAGUAGCCUGUUCGAUCACUAGAGGAUCCCCUAAGUGUGGUUUUAGUAAUUAAUGUAGCCCCUAAGUGUGGUUUUGGUAAUUAAUGAUAAUCUCUAUGGACUAAUGUUUUGGGUGAGAUAUAUUUGAAGGUAUUGUCCAUAGAUGGUGCAUCAAGGAUAUUAGAUGGAAUCAAGGAUGCACUACAAUCAUGAUGUGCCACUUGGUGACUUUCUUGAUUAACAAAUUGCUAGAGUUAUACAACAUGAUGUUGUUGAAUCUGAUGAUGAGCUUGAACCUGAAACUCCUGAAACACCUGCUAGAACUAGACCUCCUAGAUAUGAAUUGCCUAAGGUACCGGAAGGUUAUGUUAUGGGUGAAGAAACAACUAGAGAUAUUCUUGCUUGCAGAGAUAGAGAUGAUCUAGAGAAAUUAUUAUGCAAGUAUAAAGAAAAAUCUCUGAAUGCUAGAAUGAAAUGUGAUCCUAAGUUUGCUACUUCACCUAUCUUUAUUGAUGAUAAGGAUUAUGAAUUUUCUGUCGACCCAGAAUUGAUUACUUUGGUUGAAUCUGAUCCUUUCCAUGGUUAUGAAACUGAAACUGUUGUGGCACAUCUUACUAAGUUGAAUGACAUAGCCACCCUUUUUACUCAUGAUGAGAAAACUCGCUAUUACUAUAUUCUCAAAUUAUAUCCUUUCUCUUUAAAGGGUGAUGCUAAAGCUUGGUACAAUACUCUUGCUCCUGGUUGUGUGCGUAGUCCCUAGGAUAUGAUUUAUUACUUCCCUGAAAAAUAUUUCCCUGCUCAUAAGGAACAAGCUGCCUUGUAGGAAAUAUUUAACUUUGUUCAAAUUAAAGAAGAGAGUCUCUCACAAGCUUGGGGGAGGCUUUGCCAAUUACUUAAUGCCUUGCCAUACCAUCCUCUUAAUAAAAAUGAAAUAUUGGAUAUCUUCUAUAAUGGACUAACCGAUGCUUCUAGGGAUUUCCUAGAUAGUUGUGCUGGUUGUGUUUUCAGGGAAUGAACUGUUGGACAAGCUGAAGAAUUAUUGAAUAAAAAAUUAUGAUGAUUGGACUCUUCCUGAACCACCGCCUAAACCCACUCCAAAGAAGAGGGGUAUAUUAUAUCUCAGUCCUGAAGAUAUGCAAGAGGCAAAGAAAUAUAUGAAGGAAAAAGGUAUUAAAGCCGAGGAUGUUAAAAAUUUACCUCCUAUUGAAGAAAUACAUGGGCUUAAUACACAACCACUGCCUAAGGUGGCAGAGGUAAAUUCUCUUAUGACAUUUAAUUAUAAUGAUAAUCCUCACAAUAUGCAUCCUAGCCAAUGCCUUUAUGAGUUUGAAAACUACAUUAGAAAACAAGAUCACUUCAAUGCAAAUGUUAUGAAACAAUUGAAAUACAAUUCUGAUAUGAUUGCUCGCUUGAGUGACUUGUUAUUUAGAAUAUCAAAUGAUGUUAGAGGUGUUGAAAAGCAUGCUUCUAUGGUUCAAACUCAGUUAGAACAAGUUGCUAAAUCUCAAAGAGAAUUGCUUGAUGAAAUGAAUAAUAAUAUGCAUGACUUUGCUGUUAGAGUUGCAACUAGAGGAGGUAAAAUGACUCAGGAACCACUUUAUCCUGAGGGACACCCAAAAAGAAUUGAACAAGUUUCACAAAGAGCCAACACUAGUGCACCUUGUUCUUCAAAAAAGAAAAAUAAGAAGAAGAAUGAUAGGACUUUGCAUGCUCCUAGUGAACCUGAAAUAGAGAAACCUCUUGAUAAUGAUAAUGAAGUUUCUAUCUCUGAUGCUGAAACUCGGUCUGGUAAUGAACACUCACCUAGUGAUAAUGAAAAAUACAAUGUUGAUGUUCAUGGAGACACUCAACCAAAUAAUAAAGAACCAGACAAUGAUGUUGAGAUAGAACCAUCUUUUGAUCUUGAUAACCCACAACCUAAGAAUAAAAGGUAUGAUAAAAGAGGCUUCAUUGCUAGAAAACAUGGAAAAUAAAGAGAACCGUGGGUUCAAAAACCUAUGCCUUUUCCACCUAAGUCAACUAAAAAGAAUGAUGAUGAAGGAUUUGAACGCUUUGCUGAAAUGCUGAGGCCAGUCUUUUUACGUACUCGCUUGACUGAUAUCUUGAAAAUGCCUCCUUAUGCAAAGUAUAUGAAAGACAUCAUCAGAAAUAAGAGAAAAAUACCGGAAGUUGAAAUCUCCACUAUGCUUGCUAAUUAUACUUUUAAAGGUGGAGUACCUAAAAAACUUGGAGAUCCGGGAAUUCCAACUAUACCUUGCUCUAUCAAAAAGAAUUAUGUGAAAACUGCUUUGUGUGAUUUAGGAGCCGGUGUUAGUGUUAUGCCUUUAUAUUUAUAUAAAAGACUUGAUUUGAAUAAACUCACACCUACUGAAAUAUCUUUGCAAAUGGCUGAUAAAUCAACAGCCAUACCUAUUGGUAUCUGUGAGGAUGUGCCCGCUGUUGUUGCAAAUGUUACUAUUUUGACUGACUUCAUUAUACUUGAGAUGCCCGAGGACGACAACAUGUCUAUUAUCCUUGGUAGACCCUUCUUGAAUACUGCAUGGGCUGUUAUUAAUUGUAAUAAAAGCAAGGUCACUUUUCAUAUCAAUGGUAAUGAGCAUACAGUGCACUUACCGAAGAAACAAUUCUAAGUGAAUGGUAUUAAUGUUAUUGAAAAAUCUCCGACAAUCACUAUUGGAAGUUUUAAAAUACCUCUACCUACAUUCAAAAAGAAAUGUGAAAUGCUUAUUGUUGGGGACAUGCAUAUCCCCAUUGAGGUAACUUAGUGAUUUACGAAAGUUCUUCGGUUUCAUGCUAAUCGAAAGUGGUUGUUAAUAAGACCUGAUCAACCUUAUUAAUGGAUCAUUUUUGAACGAUACGAAGUUGAUGAAUUUAAUAAGCACUACCUUUUGUUCCUACUUUUUAUUCUCUGUUUUUAUUAGUUAAAUAAAAUAAAAUGCCAUAUUCUGUCUGUUUUCUGAAUUUCCCGUGCAAUAAAAAAUGACCCAAAAAUAAAAGUUCUCAGAAUGCCCUGAAAAUUUAAUAUGAUUUUUUUCUGAAUAUUUAAGAAUUUUUGGUGCAAAUAACAUCAGAGGGAGGUGCACCAGGUGGGCACAACCCACCUGGGUGCGCCAGGACCCCCAGGCGCGCCCUGGUGAGUUGUGGUCUCCACGUGGGCCCCCUCACUUAUCUCUUCAUACCACAUCAUCACCUACCUCCAGAAAAAAAAUCUCCCUUGCUCUCUCUCUCUCUCGUGUUCUUGCUUUCAAGCCCGCAUAUUUCGAUCUCUUUACUCGAAGCUCCAUUUUCGAAACAGUUUCGGGGGAUUGUUGCUUGGUAUGUGACUCCACCAUUUGUCCAAUUAGUUUUUAUUUUAGUGGUUUAUAUUUUGAAUAAUUAGCUACCCUUGUUGCUGCUGUAGAUGUGCUUGCAUGUUGAAUUCUUAGUGUUCUAAGUAGUUUGAAUGCUUGCUAUGGCCUCUAUGUAUCCCUAUGAGUAGGUGAUAUCAAUCUUAUAAAGUUUUGUUGAUAAAUUUUUGUCACCCAAUUUUUUUUAGAAAAUUGUACGCGAACAUGAUGAACUUGUUUGAAAGGAGUUCUUCCUCGGGGGCAUCUUCUAGUGACAGCUCCGUUCGCCAGUCAUAUGUUGAACCAAGUGAAAGUUCCACUCGAGAUGCCGCCACCAAAACAUGCUUAUGGCCGUGCGAUGAGUAUAUGAUGUGUGUGGGUAUUAAAUAAGAAUUUGAGCAAUAUAUUCACAAUGCCGGUCUCGGUCCCUACAAUUCAGAUAAGUGUGAACAACACCACCUUCUCACUAAAUCAUUUGUCAAAGUAUUUAAAUUCCUUUCCCGUGAGUCUAGGGUGUCGUUUAUGCUUUAUGAUAACCCAUUUACCAUAUCACUAGAGAGUUUUGCUUACCACUGCAAACUCCCGUUAUGGGGUUCGCUUAACGAACCGCCAAGGGCUGAGUAUCAAACAUUCUUGUAUAAUCUUUGUUACAGUGAGACGAGGGGAGUGACAUAAGGUAGAAUAAAGAGCAUUCAUUUUCCCACAAUUCAGUACUUUGCAUUAUUUAAUGGGAAAUGUAUAGUAGGCAAGAAAGACUAUAGUACACUUUGUGCUCUAGACUUAAGCCUCAUCCACACCGCUCUCACCAGUGAAAGGAAUUAUAACCUUGGAGCGAUUGUUGCACGCAGACUUCAGCACAACACUAACAGUGGCUAUUUCUAUGGUGGAAUAUAUGCCACGCGUUUAGCAUGAGGGCUGGGUGUUGCACCUUUGACCUUUGAUCCUAUCCUACCCACGCAGUAUUUAGAUUUUGACACUUUAAAGGAACAUAAGAUUCUUAAGGGAAAGGUUGACAACUUCACUUAUAAUCUAUUGUUUAACCAAAAAUCUGUUGUGCACACAUAUUUGCCUGCGCCUGCUCUUUUUGAUUACCACAGCAAAGGAAGAUAUUUUGUUCUUGAGAGCGAGGCCCAAGCUCACAACGCAGCAGUGGAGGCAGCACGGCAGGGCGAGGCAUCCGCACCGAGAGCCUCCGUGAGCUACCAUGCCAACUAUUAUCCAGACUACUGAUCGAGUACCAAGUUAGGCUAAAAUCCUAAGCUUGGGGGAGUACGUGUUUCCCACCGACAUUACAUUCAUGUUCACUUAUUCAUCUUGUCGGUGUUCACACUUUUUCAUUGUAUCAUCCAUGUUUAAAUUUUAUUUUUCUUACUUUCUUCUUGUGUGUUUGCAAAACUUUAGAAAAACCAAAAAAUUAGUUAUAGCUAGUUUACUUUCCAUGCAUGCUUAGUUGUAAUAUUAAUAUUAAAAAGAAAACCCAAAAAGAUUUCCUUGUUCUUCUUUUGCUUGUUGGGAGUUUUCCCGUGUAAAUACUUUUUCUCGUUUUUUCUUUUCCCUUUUAUUUGCUUGUUCAAGAAAACCAAAAACUUCAAAAAUAUUUCAAUGUGUUUCUCUGAAUUUCUUUUACUUUUAUUCGAGUUGUGCCAAGGAGAAGACCACGAUGAAAAUGUUGAGUGGCUCUCAUAUGAAUAAUUGUUGAACUAAUAAAGAGCCCAUUUUACCUUGUCUUCUCCUGUCGAAUAAAAUGUUUUGCAGAUUCGAAAAUAGUCCAUGGCAUUCUUGCACUAUUAUCAUUUUCACAUUGUUCGGUCAUGCAAGUGAAAGGCAAUAAUGACGAUAUUUGAUGAAGUGGCCAUGGCAGAGAGAAACUGGUAUGAACUCGACUUGUUCUGUUUGUGUAAAUAUGUUUAACCUAGUAUCCAUGAUUCAACCCAUUAUGAUUAAACAUGUUUUCAAUGACAAUUAGAGAUUAUAGUUUCUCAUGCCAUGCAUAAGUAGCUGGGAGUGGAUAAUGAUUUAUCUUGGAUAUCAACAUUGCCUUAAAAUGAUUGUGAUGUAGUAUGAUGAUAUGGUAUCCUCCUCUGAAUGUUUGAGUGGCUUGACUUGGCACAUGUUCAUGCAUGUAGCUGAAUCAAAACCAACAUAGCCUCUAUGAUAUUUAUGUUCAUGGUGUUCAUAUCCUACUCAUGCUAGUGUCCAAUGUUACUUACGCAUAAUGCAUGAUCAUGAUCGUUGUUGCUCUCUAGCUAGCCGCUUCUCAAUCUAAUUGCUAGCCUUCGCCUGUACUAAGUGGGGAUUCUGCUUGUACAUCAAAAACCCUGAACCCAAAGUUAUUCCAGAUGAGUCCACCAUACCUACCUAUAUGCGGUAUUACCCUGCUGUUCAAAGUAAAUUUGCAUGUACCACCUUUAAAAAUUUCUAAAAAAAUAUCUGUUUUGUGUGCCUGGAUCAUUCAUGGAACGAUAAAAGGUAGUCGGUAUCUUCCAUGCUAAGCUGGUUAUUCUCAGGUCGAGUGUUUAUUCACUCGCCAUCGCACGAGAAAAGGGCGGUAAUAGGGAUGCCCAGUCCCAAACUACAAAAUACAAAAAAGAUUUAAUCGGUCGAAUAAUCAAACAAAAACUCCCAAUGGAGUCAAAACCUUUACUUUUUAUCGCUUGGGAACUGCCAUUAGCUUUUUUAAUAUGGGAGAUAUUGAUAACUGAUAGUCUUGAAGUAAAUGAGAAGGGUGCAUGUCUCAAAAUACAAUUUAUCUCUGUUUUAAAACUUGAGCUCUAGCACCUCUGCAAAUCACCGCUUCCCUCUGCGAAGGGACUAUCUAUUUACUUUUAUGUUGUGUCAUCACCUUCUAAAACAAGCGCUAGAACCUGAGAGCACAGCUGUCAUGACUUAUGCAUUGUGUGUAGCUAAUGUUGGGUGCAUCAUGACUGGAUCUUUUCUACCAUGAAUUACAAUGUUUAGUCACUGCUUGGACUUUGGAGGUCCUCUGCAUUUAUGUUUUGCGGUCUCAGAAAGGGCUAACGAUAUACCACUAUUGUCAUAUUAUAUCAUGGUUGUUUUGACAACGUGUUGCCGUUUGAGAUGUCUUAUUAUUGCUCACGAGCUGAUUAUGUCACUGAUAUGAGGUAAUAUAAUCUUUAAGAGUUAUUGUCGGCAUGGUUAGUUAUAAUGUUGGCUGAAAACCUGGGUGUUGUUUAAGCUUAUUUAUGCAAACAAGAGCAAAAGAGUUGGUAAAACCUUUUCUUUUUCACUUUCAGUUUAUCAAUUGAAUUGCUUGAGGACAAGCAAAGGUUUAAGCUUGGGGGAGUUGAUACGUCUCCAACGUAUCUACUUUCCUAACACUUUUUCUCUUGUUUUAGACUCUAAUUUGCAUGAUUUAAAUGAAACUAACCCCGGACUUACGCUGUUUUCAGCAGAACUACCAUGGUGUUGUUUUUGUGCAAAAAUAAAAGUUCUCAGAAUGGAACGAAACUUUGCGAGGAUUUGUACAUCAAUAAUAAGAAUUUUUGGAGCCAAGACCCACCAGAGGGGGGCAUCUGGGUGAGCACAACCCACCAGGGCGCGCCCCCUCACCCGGCGCACCCAGGUGGGUUGUGCCCACCUGGUCGCCCCGCAGACCCUGAAGCCGACGCUAUAAAAUCCUAUUUUUCCAAAAAAAAUCAGGGAGAAAGAAUUAUCACGAUCCACAAGACGGAUCCGCCGUCACCUUCUGUUCUUCAUCAGGAGGCUAGAUCUGUCCGUUUGGGGCUCCGGAGAGGGGGAUCUUCAUUCUUCGUCAUCACCAACCCUUCUCCAUCGCCAAUUGAUACGUCCAUUUUGCAUCAUGCUUUUAUAUCAAUAUUUAUUGCAUUAUGGGCUGUUAUUACACAUUAUGUCACAAUACUUAUGCCUAUUCUCUCUUAUUUUACAAGGUUUCCAUAAAGAGGGAGAAUGCCGACAGCUGGGAUUCUGGGCUGGAAAAGGAGCAAAUAUUAGAGACCUAUUCUUCACAGCUCCAAAAGUUCUGAAACUUCAUGGAAGUCAAUUUCAGAAUAUAUAAUAAAUAUUGAGCGCAAGAAGUUCACCAGGGGGGCCACACCCUGCCCACGAGGGUGGGGGCGCGCCCUACCCCCCUGACGCCCCCCUACCUCGUGGGCCCCCUGGUGGCACUCUGAUGACCAUCUUCUGCUAUAUGAGUUCUUUCGAUGAGGAAAAAAUGAGAAGCCAUCUUCUCGGACGAAACUCCGCCGCCACGAGGCGGAACCUUGGCGGAACCAAUCUAGGGCUCUAGCGGAGCUGUUCUGCCGGGGAAACUUCCCUCCGGGAGGAGGAAAUCAUCGCCAUCAUCAUCACCAACGCUCCUCCCAUCGGGAGAGGGAAAUCUCCAUCAACAUCUUCACCAGCACCAUCUCCUCUCAAAAUCCUAGUUCAUCUCUUGUAUCCAAUUCUUGUCUCCAAGUCCGGGAUUGGUACCUGUGGGUUGCUAGUAGUGUUAAUUACUCCUUGUAGUUGAUGCUAGUUGGUUUAAUUGGUGGAAGAUCAUGUGUUCAGAUCCUAUAUGCAUAUUAAUACCCCUCUGAUUAUGAACAUGAAUAUGCUUUGUGAGUAGUUACAUUUGUUCCUGAGGACAUGGGAGAAGUCUUGCUAUUAGUGGUCAUGUGAAUUUGGUCUUCGUUCGAUAUUUUGAUGAGAUGUAUGUUGUCUCUCCUCUAGUUGUGUCAUGUGAACGUCGACUACAUGACACUUCACCAUUGUUUGGGCCUAGAGGAAGGCAUUGGGGAGUAAUAAGUAGAUGUUGGGUUGCUAGAGUGACAGAAGCUUAAACCCUAGUUUAUGCGUUGCUUCGUAAGGGGCUGAUUUGGAUCCAUAUGUUUCAUGCUAUGGUUAGGUUUACCUUAAUAUUUUUGUUGUAGUUGCGGAUGCUUUGCAAUAGAGGUUAAUCAUAAGUGGGAUGCUUGUUCAAGUAAGGACAAUACGCAAGCACCGGUCCACCCACAUAUCAGAUUAUCAAUGUACCGAACACAAAUCAUAUGAGCGUGAUGAAAACUAGCUUGACGAUAUUCCCAUGUGUCCUCGGGAGCGCUUUUGUCUAUAUAAGAGUUUGUCCAGGCUUGUCCUUUGCUACAAAAAGGAUUGGGCCACCUUGCUGCACUUUUUACUUUUGUUACUUGUUGCUCGUUACAAAUUAUCCUAUCACAAAACUAUAUGUUACCACUUAUUUCAGUACUUGCAGAGAAUACCUUGCUGGAAACCGCUUAUCAUUUCCUUCUACUCCUCGUUGGGUUCGACACUCUUACUUAUCGAAAGGACUACGAUAGAUCCCCUAUACCUGUGGGUCAUCAAGACUCUUUUCUGGCACCGUUGCUGGGGAGUGAAGCGCCUUUGGUAGGUGGAAUUUGGUAAGGAAAAUUUUUAUAUAGUGCGCUGAAAUUUACUGUCACUUGUUACUAUGGAAGGUAAUCCUCUGAGGGGCUUGUUCGGGGUAUCUUCACCCCGACCAGUAGAGCAAAGAUUUGCUCCUCAACCAACUGAACCUACUGAAAAUGAAAAUAAAAAUGAAAGUGUCUGCUUUGAAUUUCCUUCGGGUAUGUUAGAAAAACUGCUAGCUAAUCCUUUUGCAAGAGAUGGAACAAUGCAUCCUGAUGAGCACCUAAUAUAUGUUGAUGAAGUUUGUGGAUUAUUUAUGCUUGCAGGUGUACCCGGAGAUGUUGUUAAGAAGAAAGUCUUCCCUUUAUCUUUGUGGGAAGAUGCAUUGACAUGGUAUAGGCUAUGUGAUGAUACGGGGCCAUGGAACUACAAACGAUUGAAAUUGGAAUUUCAUCAGAAGUUUUAUCCUAUGCAUCUUGUUCAUCGUGAUCACAAUUAUAUAUAUAUUUUUUGGCCUCGCGAAGGAGAAAGCAUCGCUCAAGCUUGGGGGAGGCUUAAAUCAAUGUUAUAUUCAUGCCCCAAUCAUGAGCUCUCAAGAGAAAUGAUUAUUCAAAAUUUAUAUGCUCGGCUUUCUGAUAACAAUCGCACCAUGCUCGAUACUUCUUGUGCUAUCUCUUUUAUGAUGAAUACUAUUGAAUUCAAAUGGGAAUUAUUGGAAAGAAUUAAACGCAAUUCUGAAUAUUGGGACCUCGACGAAGGUAAGAAGUCAGGUAUGACACCUAAGUUUGAUUGUGUUAAAUCUUUUAUGGAUACCGAUGUUUUCCGUAAAUUUAGCACUAAACAUGGACUUGACUCUGAAAUAGUAGCUUCUUUCUGUGAAUCUUUUGCUACUUAUGUUGAUCUCCCCAAGGAGAAGUGGUUUAAAUAUCAUCCUCCCAUAGAAGUAAAAGUAGCUGCACCUAUUAAAGUUGAAGAAAAGAUUGUCACUUAUAAUGAUCCUAUUGUUCCUACUUCUUAUGUGAGAAACCACCUUUCCCUGUUCGGAUAAAGGAUCAUGCUAAAGCUUCAACUGUGGUUCGUAAAAGCAAUAUUAAAACAUAUACACCUCCUGAGCAAGUUAAAGUUGAACCUAAUAUUGCUAUUGUUAAAGAUCUUUUGUCUGACAAUGUUGAUGGGCAUGUUAUUUAUUUCUGUGAUGAAACUGCUAGAAUUGCUAAACCUUGUGCUAAAGAUAAACCUAGACCUGUGGUAGGCAUGCCUAUUAUUUCUGUUAAAAUAGGAGAUCAUUGUUAUCAUGGCUUAUGUGAUAUGGGUGACAGUGCUAGUGGAAUACCUAUUAGCCUAUAUAGAGAAAUUAUGCAUGAUAUUGCACCUGUUGAGUUAGAAGAUAUUGAUGUCACAAUUAAACUUGCCAAUAGAGAUACUAUAUCACCAAUGGGAAUUGUUAGAGAUGUUGAAGUCUUGUGUGGGAAAACUAAAUAUCCUGUUGAUUUUCUUGUUCUUGAUUCCCCACAAGAUAGCUUUUGUCCCAUUAUAUUUGGUAGACCCUUCUUAAACACUGUUAAUGCCAAGAUAGAUUGCAAAAAGGAUGUUGUUACUAUCAGUUUAGAUGAUAUGGCUCAUGAAUUUAAUUUCUCUAAAUUUAGUAGACAACACCGUGAAGAAGAAUUACCUAGUAAGGAUGAAAUUAUUGGUCUUGCUUCUAUUGCCGUACCUCCUAGUGAUCCUUUAGAACAAUAUUUGCUAGACCAUGAAAAUGAUAUGUUUAUGAAUGAAAGAAGGGAAAUAGAUGAAGUAUUCUUUAAACAGGAACCUAUUUUGAAAAACAAUUUACCUGUUGAUAUCCUAGGGGAUCCUCCUCCACCCAAGGGUGAUCCCGUCUUUGAGCUUAAACCAUUGCCUGAUACUCUUAAAUAUGCUUAUCUUGAUGAGAAAAAGAUAUAUCCUGUUAUUAUUAGUGCUAACAUUUCAGAGCAUGAGGAAGAGAGAUUAUUGAAAACUCUGAAGAAGCACCGUGCUGCUAUUGGGUAUACUCUUGAUGAUCUUAAGGGCAUUAGUCUAUGUCAACAUAAAAUAAAUUUGGAAGAAGAUGCUAAACCAGUUCGUGAUCAUCAACGACGGCUGAAUCCUAAAAUGAAAGAAGUGGCAAGAAAGGAAAUAUUAAAGCUCCUUGAGGCAGGUAUAAUCUAUCACGUUGCUGAUAGUCAGUGGGUAAGUCCUGUCCAUUGUGUCCUUAAGAAGGGAGGUAUUACUGUCAUUCCUAAUGAUAAAGUUGAAUUGAUUUCUCAAAGAAUUAUUACAGGUUAUAGGAUGGUAAUUGAUUUCUACAAAUUAAAUAAGGCCACUAAAAAGGAUCAUUACCCCUUACCUUUUAUCGAUCAAAUGCUAGAAAGAUUAUUCAAACAUACACAUUUUUGCUUUCUAGAUGGUUAUUCUGGUUUCUCUCAAAUACCUGUCGGAGUAAUUGGACACGGAUACCCCGAAGACGGUGAGACGAUAUUUCAAAACAUCGGGGCUAGCAAACCCCCUUAGUCCGACUGCCCGGCUGCUCCCGCCGGCUCCCCGUCCGACUGCUCUACCCGGCCGGCUGCCGACUACGCCAACCAGCCGGCUGCCGACUGCAGUGUUGGGGAACGUAGCAGAAAUUCAAAAUUUUCCUACGCGUAUCACCAAGAUCUAUCUAUGGAGAGACCAGCAACGAGUAGAAAGGAGAGUGCAUCUACAUACCCUUGUAGAUCGCUAAGCGGAAGCGUUCAAGUGAACGGGGUUGAUGGAGUCGUACUCGUCGUGAUUCAGAUCACCGAUGAUCCUAGUGCCGAACGGACGGCACCUCCGCGUUCAACACACGUACAGCUCGACGAUGUCUCCCACGCCUUGAUCCAGCAAGGAGAGAGGGAGAGGUUGAGGAAGACUCCAUCCAGUAGCAGCACAACGGCGUGGUGGUGGUGGAGGAGCGUGGCAAUCCCGCAGGGCUUCGCCAAGCACCUACGGGAGAGGAGGAGGUGUCACGGGAGGGAGGGAGGCGCCAAGGGCUCAGGUAUGGAUGCCCUCCCUCCCCUCCACUAUAUAUAGGGGCAGGGGAGAGGGGGGAGGCGCAGCCUUGCCCCCUCCUCCAAGGAAGGGGUGCGGCUAAGGAGGGGGGGAGGAGUCCAUCCUCCCCAAGGCACCUCGGAGGUGCCUUCCCCCUUUAGGACUCUCCCCUUUUUCCUUUAUCUUGGUGCAUGGGCCUCUAGGGGCUGGUGCCCUUGGCCCAUGUAGGCCAAGGCGCACCCCCUACAGCCCAUGUGGCCCCCCGGGACAGGUGGCCCCACCCGGUGGGCCCCCGGGACCCUUUCGGUGGUCCCGGUACAAUACCGAUGACCCCGAAACUUGUCCCGAUGGCCGAAACAGGACUUCCUAUAUAUAAAUCUUUACCUCCGGACCAUUCCGGAACUCCUCGUGAUGUCCGGGAUCUCAUCCGGGACUCCGAACAACAUUCGAUAACCACAUACAAACUUCCUUUAUAACCCUAGCGUCAUCGAACCUUAAGUGUGUAGACCCUACGGGUUCGGGAGACAUGCAGACAUGACCGAGACGUUCUCCGGUCAAUAACCAACAGCGGGAUCUGGAUACCCAUGUUGGCUCCCACAUGUUCCACGAUGAUCUCAUCGGAUGAACCACGAUGUCAAGGACUCAAUCAAUCCCGUAUACAAUUCCCUUUGUCUAGCGGUAUGGUACUUGCCCGAGAUUCGAUCGUCGGUAUACCGAUACCUUGUUCAAUCUCGUUACCGGCAAGUCUCUUUACUCGUUCCGUAACACAUCAUCCCGUGAUCAACCCCUUGGUCACAUUGUGCACAUUAUGAUGAUGUCCUACCGAGUGGGCCCAGAGAUACCUCUCCGUUUACACGGAGUGACAAAAUCCCAAUCUCGAUUCGUGCCAACCCAACAGACACUUUCAGAGAUACCCGUAGUGCACCUUUAUAGCCACCCAGUUACGUUGUGACGUUUGGCACACCCAAAGCACUCCUACGGUAUCCGGGAGUUGCACAAUCUCAUGGUCUAAGGAAAUGAUACUUGACAUUAGAAAAGCUUUAGCAUACGAACUACAUGAUCUUGUGCUAGGCUUAGGAUUGGGUCUUGUCCAUCACAUCAUUCUCCUAAUGAUGUGAUCCCGUUAUCAACAACAUCCAAUGUCCAUGGUCAGGAAACCGUAACCAUCUAUUGAUUAACGAGCUAGUCAACUAGAGGCUUACUAGGGACAUGGUGUUGUCUAUGUAUCCACACAUGUAUCUGAGUUUCCUAUCAAUACAAUUCUAGCAUGGAUAAUAAACGAUUAUCAUGAACAAGGAAAUAUAAUAAUAACCAAUUUAUUAUUGCCUCUAGGGCAUAUUUCCAACAGUCUCCCACUUGCACUAGAGUCAAUAAUCUAGUUCACAUCGAUAUGUGAUUAACACUCAAGGUCACAUCCCCAUGUGACUAACACCCAAAGAGUUUACUAGAGUCAAUAAUCUAGUUCACAUUUACCAUGUGAUUAACACUCGAUGAGUUCUGGGUUUGAUCAUGUUAUGCUUGUGAGAGAGGUUAUAGUCAACGGGUCUGAACCUUUCAGAUCCGUGUGUGCUUUACAAAUCUCUAUGUCAUCUCCUAGAUGCAGCUACCACGUUCUAUUUGGAGCUAUUCCAAAUAACUGUUCUACUUGGAGCUAUUCUAAAUUGUUGCUCCAUUAUACGUAUCCGGUAUCUCUACUCAGAGCUAUCCGGAUAGGUGUUAAGCUUGCAUCGACGUAACCCUUUACGACGAACUCUUUUACCACCUCCAUAAUCGAGAAAAUUCCUUAGCCCACUAGUUACCAAGGAUAACUUUGACCGCUGUCCUGUGAUCCAUUCUUGGAUCACUCUUGUACCCCUUGACUGACUCAUGGUAAAGCACACUUCAGGUGCGGUACACAGCAUAGCAUACUGUAGAGCCUAUGUCUUAAGCAUAGGGGACGACCUUCGUUCCUUUCUCUCUAUUCUGCCAUGGUCGAGCUUUAAGUCUUAACUUCAUACCUUACAACUCAGGCAAGAACUCCUUCUUUGACUGAUCCAUCUUGAACACCUUCAAGAUCACGUCAAGGCAUGUGCUCAUUUGAAAGUACUAUUAAGCGUUUUGAUCUAUCCUUAUAGAUCUUGAUGCUCAAUGUUCAAGUAGCUUAAUCCAGGCUUUCCAUUGAAAAAUACUUUCCAAAUAACCCUAUAUGCUUUCCAGAAAUUCUACGUCAUUUCUGAUCAUUAAUAUGUCAACAACAUAUACUCAUCAAAAAUUCUAUAGUGCUCCCACUCACUUCUUUGGAAAUACAAGUUUCUCAUAAACUUUGUAUACACCCAAAAUCUUUGAUCAUCAUCAAAGCAUACAUUCCAACUCCGAGAUGCUCACUCCAGUCCUCAGAAGGAUUGCUGGAGCUUUGCAUACUUAUUAGCAUAUUUCAGGAUAGACAAAACCUUCCGGUUGUAUCACAUACAACCUUUCCUCAAAAAUCGUCGAGGAAACAACGUUUUGACAUCCUAUCUGCAAGAUUUCAUAAAUAAUGCAGUAAUUGCUAAUAUAAUUCCAACAGACUCUUAGCAUCGCUACGAGUGAGAAAGUCUCAUCGUAGUCAACUCCUUGAACUUGUCGAAAAACAUCUUAACGACAAGUCGAGCUUUCUCAAUGGUGACACUUACCAUCAUUGUCUGUCUUCCUUUCAAAAUCCAUAUGUACCUAACAGCCUUACGACCAUCAAGUAGUUCUUCCAAAGUCUACACUUUGUUUUCAUACAUGGAUCCUCUCUCGGGUUUUAUGGCCUAGAGCCAUUUAUCGGAAUCCGGGCCCACCAUCGCUUCUCCAUAGCUCGUAGGUUCAUUGUUGUCUAGCAACAUGAGUUCCAAGACAGGAUUACCGUACCACUCUGAAGUAGUACGUAUCCUUGUCACCCUACGAGGUUUGGUAGUGACUCGAUCCGAAGUUUCAUGAUCACUAUCAUAAGCUUCCACUUCAGUUGGUGUACGUGCCACAGGAACAACUUCCUGUGCCCUGCUACACACUUGUUGAAGUGACGGUUCAAUAACCUCAUCAAGUCUCCACCAUCCUCCCACUCAAUUCUUUCAAGAGAAACCUUUCCUCGAGAAAGGACCCGAUUCUAGAAACAAUUCAUAUUGCUUUCGGAUCUGAAUUAGGAGGUAUACCCAACUGUUUUGGGUGUCCUAUGAAGAUGUAUUUUAUCCGCUUUGGGUUCGAGCUUAUCAAUCCUGAAACUUUUUCACAUAAGGGUCACAGCCCCAAACCUUUAAGAAACGACAACUUAGGUUUCUCUAAACCAUAAUUCAUAUGGUGUCAUCUCAACGGAAUUACAUGGUGCCCUAUUUAAAGUGAAUGUGGUUGUCUCUAAUGCUUAACCCAUGAACGAUAGUGAUAACUCGAUAAGAGACAUCAUGGUAUGCACCAUAUCCAAUAGGGUGCAACUAUGACGUUCGGACACACCAUCACACUAUGGUGUUCCAGGCGGUAUUAAUUGCGAAACAAUUUCCACAAUGUCUUAAUUGUGUGCCAAAACUCGUAACUCAGAUAUUCAUCUCUAUGAUCAUAUCAUAGACAUUUUAUCCUCUUGUCACGACGAUCUUUCAACUUCACCCUGAAAUUACUUGAACCUUUCAAUAAUUCAGACUCAUGAUUCAUCAAGCAAAUGUACUCAACAUCCACUCAAAUUAUCUGUGAAGUAAGAACAUAACAAUAUCCACUACAUGCCUCAGCACUCAUUGGACUGUACACAUCAAAAUGUAUUACUUCCAACAAGUUGCUAUCUUGUUCCAUCUUACUGAAAACGAGGCUUUUCAGUCAUCUUGCCUGUGUGGUAUGAUUUGCAUGUCCCAAGUGAUUCAAAUCAAGUGAGUCAAAACGGUCCAUUUGCAUGGAGUUUCUUCAUGCAUAUACACCAAUAGACAUGGUUCGCAUGUCUCAAACUUUUCAAAAACGAGUGAGCCCAAAGAUCCAUCAAUAUGGAGCUUCUUCAUGCGUUUUAUACCGAUAUGACUUACGUGGCAGUGCCACAAGUAGGUGGUGCUAUCAUUACUAUCUUUUGGCCUGAACAUGUGUAUCACUACGAUCGAGAUUUAAUAAACCAUUCAUUUUAGGUGUAAGACCAUUGAAGGUAUUAUUCAAAUAAACAGAGUAACCAUUAUUCUCCUUAAAUGAAUAACCGUAUUGCGAUAGACGUAAUCCAAUCAUGUCUAUGCUCAACGCAAACACCAAAUAACAAUUAUUUAGGUUUAACACCAAUCUCUUUGGUAGAGGGAGCGUGCGAUGCUUGAUCAUAUCAAGCUUGGAAAAACUUCCAACACAUAUCGUCAGCUCACCUUUAGCUAGUCUCCGUUUAUUCCGUAGCCUUUUGUUUCGAGUUACUAACACUUAGCAACCGAACCGGUAUCUAAUACCCUGGUGCUACUAGGAGUACUAGCAAAGUACACAUUAACACAAUGUAUAUCCAAUAUACUUCUAUCGACCUUGCCAGCCUUCUUAUCUACCAAGUAUCUAGGGUAAUUCUGCUCUAGUGGUUGUUCCCCUUAUUACAGAAGCACUUAGUCUCGGGUUUGGGUUUUACCUUGGGUUUCUUCACUAGAGCAGCAGCUGAUUUGCCGUUUCAUGAAGUAUCCCUUGUUGCCCUUGCCCUUCUUGAAACUAGUGGUUUCACCAACAAUCAACAAUUGAUGCUCCUUCUUGAUUUCUACUUUCGCGGUGUCAAACAUCGCGAAUACCUCAAGGAUCAUCAUAUCUAUCCCUGAUAUGUUAUAGUUCAUCACGAAGCUCUAACAGCUUGGUGGCAAUGACUUUGGAGAACCAUCACUGUCUUAUCUGGAAGAUCAACUCCCACUCGAUUCAAAUGAUUGUUGUACUCAGACAAUCUGAGCACAAGCUCAACAAUUGAGCUUUUCUCCUUAGUUUGCAGGUUAAGAAAGUCAUCGGAGGUCUUAUACCUCUUGACAUGGGCACGAGCCUGAAAUCCCAAUUUCAGCCCUCAAAACAUCUCAUAUGUUUCGCGAUGUUUCAAAAACGUCUUUGGUGCCUCAACUCUAAACCGUUUAACUGAACUAUCACGUAGUUAUCUAAACGUGUAUGUCAGAUGUUCGCAACAACCACAGACAAUGUUCGAGGUUCAGCACACUGAGCAGUGCAUUAAGGACAUAAGCCUUCUAUGAAGCAAUGAGGACAAUCCUCAGUUUACGGACCUAGUCCGCAUAAUUGCUACUAUCAACUUUCAACUAACUGUUUUUCCCUAGGAACAUAUCUAAACAGUAGAACUAUAGCGUGAGCUACGACAUAAUUUGCAAAAACCUUUUGACUAUGUUCAGGAUAAUUAAGUUCAUCUUAUGAACUCCCACUCAGAUAGACAUCCCUCUAGUCAUCUAAGUGAUUACAUGAUCCGAGUCAAACUAGGCCGUGUCCGAUCAUCACGUGAGACGGACUAGUCAUCAUCGGUGAACAUCUUCAUGUUGAUCGUAUCCUCUAUACGACUCAUGCUCGACCUUUCGGUCUCCGUGUUCCGAGGCCAUGUCUGUACAUGCUAGGCUCGUCAAGUUAACCCUAAGUGUUUCGCGUGUGUUCCGAGGCCAUGUCUGUACAUGCUAGGCUCGUCAACACCCUUUGUAUUUGAACGUCUGAAUAAAACACCCGAUCAUCACGUGAUGUUUUGAAACAGCGAACUGUCGCAACGGUGCACAGUUAGGGGAGAACACUUCUUGAAAUUGUUGUAAGGGAUCAUCUUAUUUACUACCGUCGUUCUAAGCAAAUAAGAUGUAUAAACAUGAUAAACAUCACAUGCAAUCAAAUAGUGACAUGAUAUGGCCAUCAUCACUUUGCUCCUUUUGAUCUCCAUCUUCGGGGCUCCAUGAUCAUCAUCGUCACCGGCAUGACACCAUGAUCUCCAUCAUCAUGAUCUCCAUCAUCGUGUCUUCAUGAAGUUGCCUCGCCAACUAUUACUUCUACUACUAUGGCUAACGGUUAGCAAUAAAGUAAAGUAAUUACAUGACGUUUAAGUUGACACGCAGGUCACAAAUAAAUAAAGACAACUCCUAUGGCUCCUGCCGGUUGUCAUACUCAUCGACAUGCAAGUCGUGAUUCCUAUUACAAGAACAUGAUCAAUCUCAUACAUCACAUAUAUCAUUCAUCACAUCCUCUUUGGCCAUAUCACAUCACAUAGCAUACCCUGCAAAAACAAGUUAGACGUCCUCUAAUUGUUGUUUGCAUGUUUUACGUGGCUGCUAUGGGUUUCUAGCAAGAACGUUUCUUACCUACGCAUGAACCACAACGUGAUAUGUCAAUUGCUAUUUACCCUUCAUAAGGACCCUUUUCAUCGAAUCCGAUCCGACUAAAGUGGGAGAGACAGACACCCGCCAGCCACCUUAUGCAACUAGUGCAUGUUUGUCGGUGGAACCGGUCUCACGUAAGCGUACGUGUAAGGUUGGUCCGGGCCGCUUCAUCCCACGAUGCCGCCGAAUCAAGAUAAGACUAGUAACGGCAAGCAUAUUGAACAAUAUCGACGCCCACAACUACUUUGUGUUCUACUCGUGCAAAGAAUCUACGCAAUAGACCUAGCUCAUGAUGCCACUGUUGGGGAACGUAGCAGAAAUUCAAAAUUUUCCUACGCGUAUCACCAAGAUCUAUCUAUGGAGAGACCAGCAACGAGUAGAAAGGAGAGUGCAUCUACAUACCCUUGUAGAUCGCUAAGCGGAAGCGUUCAAGUGAACGGGGUUGAUGGAGUCGUACUCGUCGUGAUUCAGAUCACCGAUGAUCCUAGUGCCGAACGGACGGCACCUCCGCGUUCAACACACGUACAGCUCGACGAUGUCUCCCACGCCUUGAUCCAGCAAGGAGAGAGGGAGAGGUUGAGGAAGACUCCAUCCAGUAGCAGCACAACGGCGUGGUGGUGGUGGAGGAGCGUGGCAAUCCCGCAGGGCUUCGCCAAGCACCUACGGGAGAGGAGGAGGUGUCACGGGAGGGAGGGAGGCGCCAAGGGCUCAGGUAUGGAUGCCCUCCCUCCCCUCCACUAUAUAUAGGGGCAGGGGAGAGGGGGGAGGCGCAGCCUUGCCCCCUCCUCCAAGGAAGGGGUGCGGCUAAGGAGGGGGGGAGGAGUCCAUCCUCCCCAAGGCACCUCGGAGGUGCCUUCCCCCUUUAGGACUCUCCCCUUUUUCCUUUAUCUUGGCGCAUGGGCCUCUAGGGGCUGGUGCCCUUGGCCCAUGUAGGCCAAGGCGCACCCCCUACAGCCCAUGUGGCCCCCCGGGGCAGGUGGCCCCACCCGGUGGGCCCCCGGGACCCUUCCGGUGGUCCCGGUACAAUACCGAUGACCCCGAAACUUGUCCCGAUGGCCGAAACAGGACUUCCUAUAUAUAAAUCUUUACCUCCGGACCAUUCCGGAACUCCUCGUGACGUCCGGGAUCUCAUCCGGGACUCCGAACAACAUUCGGUAACCACAUACAAGCUUCCUUUAUAAUCCUAGCGUCAUCGAACCUUAAGUGUGUAGACCCUACGGGUUCGGGAGACAUGCAGACAUGACCGAGAUGUUCUCCGGUCAAUAACCAACAGCGGGAUCUGGAUACCCAUGUUGGCUCCCACAUGUUCCACGAUGAUCUCAUCGGAUGAACCACGAUGUCAAGGACUCAAUCGAUCCCGUAUACAAUUCCCUUUGUCUAGCGGUAUGGUACUUGCCCGAGAUUCGAUCGUCGGUAUACCGAUACCUUGUUCAAUCUCGUUACCGGCAAGUCUCUUUACUCGUUCCGUAACACAUCAUCCCGUGAUCAACCCCUUGGUCACAUUGUGCACAUUAUGAUGAUGUCCUACCGAGUGGGCCCAGAGAUACCUCUCCGUUUACAUGGAGUGACAAAUCCCAAUCUCGAUUCGUGCCAACCCAACAGACACUUUCAGAGAUACCCGUAGUGUACCUUUAUAGCCACCCAGUUACGUUGUGACGUUUGGCACACCCAAAGCAUUCCUACGGUAUCCGGGAGUUGCACAAUCUCAUGGUCUAAGGAAAUGAUACUUGACAUUAGAAAAGCUUUAGCAUACGAACUACAUGAUCUUGUGCUAGGCUUAGGAUUGGGUCUUGUCCAUCACAUCAUUCUCCUAAUGAUGUGAUCCCGUUAUCAACGACAUCCAAUGUCCAUGGUCAGGAAACCGUAACCAUCUAUUGAUUAACGAGCUAGUCAACUAGAGGCUUACUAGGGACAUGGUGUUGUCUAUGUAUCCACACAUGUAUCUGAGUUUCCUAUCAAUACAAUUCUAGCAUGGAUAAUAAACGAUUAUCAUGAACAAGGAAAUAUAAUAAUAAUCAAUUUAUUAUUGCCUCUAGGGCAUAUUUCCAACAUGCAGCCCAACCCAACACCGACAAGACACCGACGAGACGACCAUACCGCAGACAAGACAACCGUACCGCGACGACAUCAUGUACAGUGUCACUUGUCCCAUGGCACUAUUUAUGAAGUGACCCAGGGGACAAGCAUGACAUGCACCAUGCCUUAUCCAUGCCCACUACCAAGCUUACAUCCUAAGCUACCCUCUCCUAUAUAAAGGGGCACACAUCCAUCCAUCCAGGGGAUGGACUCUCACGCACACACACAAGCAAUUAGCUAGCUAGCUAUCCAUCCAUCCAUCCACAUGAGCACACAUGCUCACGGCCAUGAGCAUGGCCGGCCACUAGCAUGCCUCAUAUAGGCAUAUACAAAGCCAGAUGCCUGUGGCACUGCUUUCAGAUACAACUCCAGGAGCACUCUGUACCAGAUAUACCAGAUAUACUCAGACAUGCAGGAGUAGGGGUGUUAUCUAUCCGGAGAGCCCCGAACCUGGGUAAACUAGCGUGUGCUACUCGCAUACCCGCUCCCGGUCCUAUCAGCAGCAGUCUUACCCUCACACUAAGCCCUUGUGGCAUCUGUCGACUCGCAAGCCCCCCGUGAGAAUACCACGACAAUACCUGUGUCAACCAAGGAUCAAUCAAAGACUACUUUUACUUGCCCUUUUGGUACUUUUGCUUAUAGACGUAUGCCUUUUGGUUUAUGUAAUGCACCUGCUACCUUUCAAAGAUGCAUGAUGGCUAUAUUCUCUGACUUUUGUGAAAAGAUUUGUGAGGUUUUCAUGGACGAUUUCUCCAUCUAUGGAUCUUCUUUUGAUGAUUGCUUGAGCAAGCUUGAUCGAGUUUUGCAGAGAUGUGAAGGAACUAAUCUUGUCUUGAAUUGGGAAAAGUGCCACUUUAUGGUUAACAAAGGUAUUGUCUUGGGGCAUAAAGUUUCUGAAAGAGGUAUUGAAGUUGAUAAAGCCAAGGUUGAUGCUAUUGAAAAGAUGCCAUGCCCCAAGGAUAUUAAAGGUAUAAGACGUUUCCUUGAUCAUGCCAGAUUUUAUAGGAGGUUCAUUAAGGACUUCUCAAAAAUUUCUCGGCCUCUGACUAAUUUAUUACAAAAAGAUAUACCAUUUGUCUUUGAUGAUGAUUGUGUAGAAGCAUUUGAAAUACUUAAGAAAGCAUUGAUCUCUGCACCUAUUGUUCAGCCACCUGAUUGGAAUUUACCCUUUGAAAUUAUGUGUGAUGCUAGUGAUUAUGCUAUAGGUGUUGUUCUAGGACAAAGAGUUGAUAAGAAAUUAAACGUUAUUCAAUAUGCUAGUAAAACCCUAGACAAUUCUCAAAGAAAUUAUGCUACUACUAAAAAAGAAUUCUUAGCACUUGUAUUUGCUUGUGAUAAGUUCAAACCUUAUGUUGUUGAUUCUAAAGUAACUAUUCACACUAAUCAUGCUGCUAUUAAAUAUCUUAUGGAAAAGAAAGAUGCUAAACCUACACUUAUUAGAUGGGUUCUCUUGCUACAAGAAUUUGAUUUACAUAUUGUUGAUAUAAAGGGAGCUGAGAACCCCGUUGCAGACAACUUGUCUAGGUUAGAAAAUGUGCUUGAUGACCCACUACCUAUUGAUGAUAGCUUUCCUGAUGAGCAAUUAAAUAUCAUAAAUGCUUCUCAUACUGCUCCAUGGUAUGCUGAUUAUGCUAAUUACAUUGUUGCCAAAUUCAUACCACCUAGUUUCACAUACCAGCAAAAGAAAAAGUUCUGCUAUGAUUUGAGGCAUUACUUUUGGGAUGACCCACAUCUUUAUAAAGAAGGAGUAGAUGGCGUUAUUAGACGUUGUGUACCUGAGCAUGAACAGGAACAUAUCCUAUGCAAGUGUCACUCCGAAGCUUAUGGAGGACACCAUGCUGGAGAUAGAACUGCACAUAAGGUAUUGCAAUCUGGUUUUUAUUGGCCUACUCUCUUCAAAGAUGUCCGUAAGUUUGUCUUAUCUUGUGAUGAAUGUCAAAGAAUUGGUAAUAUUAGUAGACGUCAGGAAAUGCCUAUGAAUUAUUCACUUGUUAUUGAACCAUUUGAUGUUUGGGGCUUUGAUUAUAUGGGACCUUUUCCUUGCUCUAAUGGAUAUACACAUAUUUUAGUUGCUGUUGAUUACGUUACUAAGUGGGUAGAAGCUAAUCCAACUAGUAGUGCUGAUCAUAACACCUCUAUUAAGAUGCUUAAAGAAGUUAUUUUUCCAAGAUUUGGAGUCCCUAGAUAUUUAAUGACUGAUGGUGGUUCACAUUUUAUUCUUGGUGCUUUCCGUAAAAUGCUUGCUAAAUAUGAUGUUAAUCAUAGAAUUACAUCUCCUUAUCACCCUCAGUCUAGUGGUCAAGUAGAAUUGAGGAAUAGAGAGCUCUAAUUAAUUUUGCAAAAGACUGUUAAUAGAUCUAGAAAGAAUUGGUCCAAGAAACUUGAUGAUGCAUUAUGGGCCUAUAGAACUGCAUAUAAAAAUCCUAUGGGUAUGUCUCCGUAUAAAAUGGUUUAUGGAAAGGCAUGUCACUUACCUCUCGAACUAGAACACAAGGCAUAUUGGGCUAUUAAAGAACUCAAUUAUGAUUUUAAACUUGCUGGUGAGAAGAGGUUAUUUGAUAUUAGCUCACUCGAUGAAUGGAGAACCCAAGCCUAUGAAAAUGCCAAGUUGUUUAAAGAAAAAGUUAAAAGAUGGCAUGACAAAAGGAUACAGAAGCGUGAGUUUAAUGUAGGUGAUUAUGUAUUGCUAUACAACUCUCGUUUAAGAUUUUUUGCAGGAAAACUUCUCUCUAAAUGGGAAGGUCCUUACAUUAUCGAGGAGGUCUAUCAUUCCGGUGCCAUAAAAAUCAACAAUUUCGAAGGCAAAAAUCCGAAGGUGGUGAACGGUCAAAGAAUUAAACAUUAUAUCUCAGGUAAUCCUAUAAAUGUCGAAACCAAUGUUAUUAAAACCGUAACCCCAGAGGAAUACAUAAGGGACACUUUCGAGAACGUUUCAGACUCCGAAAAGGAAUAGGUAUGUGGUACGGUAAGUAAACCGACUCCAAAACAGUUUUAAGGCAAUAUUUCCCCGUUUUGGAAUAUUUGGAAAAAUAGAAAAAUAAGUAGCAGUCCGGAAAGGACACGAUACCUCCAUGAGGGUGGAGGGCGCGCCCCCUACCUCGUGGGCACCUCGUGUGCUCUCCGAACUCCGUUUUUGUAUAUGACACGUAUUUUGGUCGGUAAAAAUUCAUUAUAUAUUCCCCCGGAGGUUUCGACCCCUUGUAUCAUGCAAAUAUCUCCUGUCUUUGUUUCGAGUUGUCCUGCUGCAGAUUUGAGCAACAUGUCGUCCCAGGAUUCGAAAGGAGAGAGCUAUGUGGCUGAUUACCUUGCAGAUCCUAAAGUCUAUGGGGAUGUGGAGCAUUGUGGUUGGACUACAGAAGAAGAAGAGGACUAUGAACCUAAGGGAAAGGAGGAGACGAGCUCAGAUGAAGAUGAAGUCCCACUACCUCAACCUGGGGACAUGCAUGUGGAGUUCAAAAAGUCAAGCCUUCCUGAUAGAGUAAAGAAACCUAAGAUCAAGUUUAUCCCUUUUCGCCUCUUGCUGGAAAACAAAUAGGAACUAUGGAAAAAGAUACUGAGCCUGGAAUAGGAGAUCGAGGACCUAAGGGACCAAAAUUCUGUCCUCAAAUGCAAAUUAAGGAAGAAGCCUACGCCAUCAACAAAACCACCAUCUUCUUCAACAACAAAGAAGAACUGAGCAUCGGGUAUGGGCACUCCCCUUGGCAACUGCCAAGCUUGGGGGAGUGCCCCGGUAUCGUAUCGCCAUCACUUUUAUCUUUACCAUUUUUCUUAGUUCGGUCCUUUUGGUAAUAUCUUGGUCUAGUAGAAUAAAAGUUCUUAGUGUGAUCUAGUUGUGAGUUUUGCUUUAUGAUCCUUCUAUGUAAUCGAGUCCAUGAGCUAUAUAUAAUAAAGAUUAGUGUUGAGUCAAGGGCUUGAUUCUUUUGCCAUGAUCUUAAGUGAAUAAAAGAAAAGAGAAAGAAAUAAAAAGAAACAAAGAGAUCAUAUGGAUCUCAUGGAUAGUAAUGAGCUCACAUAGAAAGAGUAUGAUGAAUAAAAGUUGUUGAGAGUUGACAAACAUAGUUUUGGUCAUCGUUGCAAUUAAUAGAAAGUAAUAAAGAAAGAGAGGUCUUCACAUAUAGAUAUACUAUCUUGGGCAUCUUUUAUGAUUGUGAGCACUCAUUAAAAUAUGACAUGCUAAAGAGUUUACGUUGGACAAGGAAGACAACGUAAUGGGUUAUGUUUUCUUACAUCUGAAAUAAAUUAUAUUGUCAUGGAUCAUCCAACAUGGUUGAGCUUGCCUUUCCCUCUCAUGCUAGCCAAAUUCAUAGCACCAAGUAGAGAUACUACUUGUGCUUCCAAAUACUCUUAAACCAGUUUUGCCAUGAGAGUCCACCAUACCUACCUAUGGAUUGAGUAAGAUCCUCCAAGUAAGUUGUCAUCGGUGCAAAGCAAUAAAAAUUCCUCUCUAAAUAUGUAUGACUUAUUAGUGUGGGAGAAAAUAAACUUUAUAUGAUCGUGUGAUAUGGAAGAAAUAAAAGUGACAGACUGCAUAAUAAAGGUCCAUAUCACAAGUGGCAAUAUAAGGUGACGUUCUUUCGCAUUAAGAUUUUGUGCAUCCAACCAUAAAAGCGCAUGACAACCUCUGCUUCCCUCUGCGAAGGGCCUAUCUUUUACUUUUAUCUCCUACCUUGCAUAAGAGUCGUGGUGAUUUUCACCCUUCCUUUUUACAUUUUAUCCUUUGGCAAGCACAGUAUGUUGGAAAGAUCCGGGUAUAUAUGGCUAAUUGGAUGUGAGUUUUCAUGAACUAUUAUUGUUGACAUUACCCUUGAGGUAAAACGUUGGGAGGCAAAACUAUAAGCCCCUAUCUUUCUCUGUGUCCGAUUAAAACUCCAUACCCAUAAGUAUUGCGUGAGUGUCAGCAAUUGUGAAAGACUAUAUGAUAGUUGAGUCCGUGGACUUGCUGAAAAGCUCUUAUAUAUUGACUCUUUCCUAUGUUAUGAUAAACUGCAAUUGCUCCAAUGACUGAUAUUAUAGUUUGUUAGUUUUCAAUGAAGUUUACGAUUCAUACUUGAAAUUGUGAUUGAAUUAUUACCCUAGCAUAAGAAAUUAUAUGACAAGAAUUAUAUAAGUUGCUGUUCUAAGAAUGAUCAUGAUGCCCUCAUGUCCGUAUUUUAUUUUUAUCGACACCUCUAUCUCUAAACAUGUGGAUAUAUUUUCCGAUUUCGGCUUUCGCUUGAGGACAAGCGAGGUCUAAGCUUGGGGGAGUUGAUACGUCCAUUUUGCAUCAUGCUUUUAUAUCGAUAUUUAUUGCAUUAUGGGCUGUUAUUACACAUUAUGUCACAAUACUUAUGCCUAUUCUCUCUUAUUUUACAAGGUUUCCAUAAAGAGGGAGAAUGCCGGCAGCUGGGAUUCUGGGCUGGAAAAGGAGCAAAUAUUAGAGACCUAUUCUUUAGAGCUCCAAAAGUCCUGAAACUUCACGGAAGUCAAUUUCAGAAUAUAUAAUAAAUAUUGAGCGCAAGAAGUUCACCAGGGGGGCCACACCCUGCCCACGAGGGUGGGGGGCGCGCCCCCUACCUCGUGGGCCCCCUGGUGGCCCUCCGAUGACCAUCUUAUUCUAUAUGAGGUCUUUCGAUGAGGAAAAAAAUGAGAAGCCAUCUUCUCGGACGAAACUCCGCCGCCACGAGGCGGAACCUUGGCGGAACCAAUCUAGGGCUCUGGUGGAGCUGUUCUGCCGGGGAAACUUCCCUCCGGGAGGGGAAAAUCAUCGCCAUCGUCAUCACCAAUGCUCCUCUCAUCGGGAGAGGGCAAUCUCCAUCAACAUCUGCACCACUACCAUCUCCUCUCAAAACCCCAGUUCAUCUCUUGUAUCCAAUUCUUAUCUCCAAGUCUGGGAUUGGUACCUGUGGGUUGCUAGUAGUGUUAAUUACUCCUUGUAGUUAAUGCUAGUUGGUUUAAUUGGUGGAAGAUCAUAUGUUCCGAUCCUAUAUGCAUAUUAAUACCCCUCUGAUUAUGAACAUGAAUAUGCUUUGUGAGUAGUUACGUUUGUUCCUGAGGACAUGGGAGAAGUCUUGCUAUUAGUAGUCAUGUGAAUUUGGUCUUCGUUCGAUAUUUUGAUGAGAUGUAUGUUGUCCCUCAUCUAGUGGUGUCAUGUGAACAUCGACUACAUGACACUUCACCAUUGUUUGGGCCUAGAGGAAGGCAUUGGGGAGUAAUAAGUAGAUGAUGGGUUGCUAGAGUGACAGAAGCUUAAACCCGAGUUUAUGCUUUGCUUCGUAAGGGGCUGAUUUGGAUCCAUAUGUUUCAUGUUAUGGUUAGGUUUACCUUGAUACUUUUGUUGUAGUUGCGGAUGCUUGCAAUAGAGGUUAAUCAUAAGUGGGAUGCUUGUUCAAGUAAGGACAGUACCCAAGCACCGGUCCACCCAUAUAUCAGAUUAUCAAAGUACCGAACGCGAAUCAUAUGAGCGUGAUGAAAACUAGCUUGACGAUAUUCCCAUGUGUCCUCGGGAGCGCUUUUCUCUAUAUAAGAGUUUUUCUAGGCUUGUCCUUUGCUACAAAAAGGAUUGGGACACCUUGCUGCAUUUAUUUUCUUUUGUUACUUGUUGCUCGUUACAAAUUAUCCUAUCACAAAACUAUCCGUUACCACUUAUUUCAGUACUUGCAGAGAGUACCUUGCUGGAAACCGCUUAUCAUUUCCUUCUGCUCCUCGUUGGGUUCGACACUCUUACUUAUCGAAAGGACUACGAUAGAUCCCCUAUACUUGUGGGUCAUCACCAAUUUCAUGAUGCUCCCCACCGGGAGUGAGUAAUUCCUUCGUAGGCUCGCUGGUCGGUGAGUUGUAUGAGAUUCAUCAUGUAAUCGAGUUAGUUUUGUUAGGGCUUGAUCCCUAAUAUCCACUAUGUUCUUAGAUUGAUGUUGCUAUGACUUUGCCAUGCUUAAUGCUUGUCACUUUGGGCUCGGGUGCCAUUAUUUCACAUCUGAACCGUUUAUGUUAUCACCAUUAUAUCCAUGUCCUAGAUCCGAUCUUGCAAGUUAUAGUCACCUACUACGUGUUAUGAUCCAGCAACCCCGGAGUGAUAAUAGCUGGGAUCACUCCUGGUGAUGACCGUAGUUUGAGGAGUUCAUGUAUUCACCGUGUGUUAAUGCUUUGUUUCGGUUCUUUAUUAAAAGGAGGCAUUAAUAUCCCUUAGUUUCCUAUAUGGACCACGCUGCCAUGGGAGGGUAGGACAAAAGAUGUCAUGCAAGUUUUUCGAUAAACAUGUAUGACUAUUUACGGAAUACAUGCCUACAUUAGAUUGAUGAAUUGGACCUAGUGCCGUAUCUCCCUAGGUUAUAAAUGUCUCAUGAUGAAUAUCAUCCAACAAGUCACCGAUCCAAUGCCUAUGAAUUUAUCUUAUAUUGUUCUUACUAAGUUACUACUGCUAUCAUCACUGUUACACUUGCUACAAAACUAUUGCUAUCACUGUUACCGCUACCGUUACUAUUGCUACUAUUAUCAAAACUAUCAUACUACUUUGCUACUAAUAACUUUGCUACAGAUAAUUAAUCUCCAGGUGUGGUUGAAUUGACAACUCAGCUGCUAAUUCCUUCAAAUAUUCUUUGGCUCCCCUUGUGUCGAAUCUAAAAAUUUGGGUUGAAUACUCUACCCUCGAAAACUGUUGCGAUCCCCUAUACUUGUGGGUUAUCAUACAAUACACGAGAAUAAUAUAUGGCUUGCUCUCGAGUCCAAAAACUGCCAGAUUCAGAAGUUCGUGGUCCAUCAUAGGGACUCAUCUUGAAGAAAGAAUAUCUGUCGGGGUAUUCAUUUUGGUUGAUUAGAGGGCCUUUGGCACCUGCGCCAUCCGAAAAGAUUGGCAUUUUCCCUCUUUGAUUGGGAUACUGCAAUUCUUCUUCAAUAGAAAGAACUUCAUCACUAUAAACUACUAAGCCCGUGUUUCGCUCAGAUGGAGGUGGAUGAGAUGGAUUUCUUUUAGAGGGUCCAUCUUCAGUAUUCGGUGCUGGAGUAGUGACAACAUUCAACUUGAGAGCAUCAUUUUCUUUCGAAACUGAAGGUGGCACAUCCUUAGUUGCCUUGAUAGAUUAUUCUUUGUCAUCCUCUUUUUCUUCUAGAACUUGGGUUGUGACAUGAGCAUAAUCUUAGGGAUCAGAUGGUUGUUCUUUAGGCACUGGAACCUAGAGUUCUUGCUCGUCAAGAGCACUAGCUUUCUAAGAUUCUUGCUCGACUGGCAUAGGAGGAGGAGAUGCACGGAUCUCAUCGUUGUCAGCAGUAGCCUGUUCGGUCACUAGAGGACCCCCUAAGUGUGGUUUUAGUAAUUAAUGUAGCCCCUAAGUGUGGUUUUGGUAAUUAAUGACAAUCUUUAUGGACUAAUGUUUUGGGUGAGAUAUAUUUGAAGGUGUUGUCCAUAGAUGGUGCAUCAAGGAUAUUAGAUGGAAUCAAGGAUGCACUACAAAAAAA
RNAcentral lists this long non-coding RNA (47957 nucleotides) under Triticum aestivum (bread wheat). Its description in RNAcentral is "long non-coding RNA (TAES_LNC020951)". Lineage: Eukaryota; Viridiplantae; Streptophyta; Magnoliopsida; Poales; Poaceae. The record is from RNAcentral.